ACGGCUGUAAAUAGAGCAACACUGAAUGCGACUCAACCGGAAAAGAAAAUCGGCUUCAAAUCGUAACUCCGUCUUCCAACGAGCAGAAGAACGACGACUUGAUAGGGACACGCAAUUUAGGAAGAGAUCGGCUACCGGUGGGGACACGGCGUUGCAGAUCUGGACAACGGCGCGGAGACAAAGGUUGCGCGGUGCUGGGUAGAGGGUCACACGGCACUGGGCGGAGGGUCACGCGGUGCUGGGCAGAGGGUCACACGACGCUGGGCAGAAAACAGAGGAGAAAGGAGAGGGGAGACAGCCGGCGGUUACAGGUUCACGCGGCGGCCUUGGCUUCGACGGACGGAAGGGAAGAGAGGAGAUGAUCGGCGGCUGCGACAAAUAGAAGAAGAAAAAAGGAAAGAGGUGGGCGGCUGCUAGGGUGAACGAAGAAGAAGAAAGAGAUGGAGGACGCACGGGAGGAAGAAGGAAGGGAAAAAUUCUUUUUCUUUUCUUUUAUUUAUUUUAAAUAAUAAAAACUAAAAUAUAAAUAAAUAUAUAUAUAAUUAUAUUAUCACAUUUUCAAAUCUUCUUUCUCCCCCUUCAACAUAUUUUCUUAAAAAAAUAAAUCUUGUACAAAUCGAAAAAUUUUCUUAAAAUAAAUUACCUUCGAGUUUGGGGCGUUACACAAGGACUUGAACAUAGGACCUUUUGGACCACCUGCUCUGAUACCAUAUUAAACCCCAAAUUCACCCAAAAGCUUAAGCUAGUGGUUGAAGGUAAAUUUAAUUAUAUAUUACCAAAGUAUGAGGUUUCAUCACAAUACCAAUUGGCAAUGAGAGGAGUAGCUCAUCUAUUUUAUAAGGAGUCUAAGUUUCCUUGGUUUUUCAAUUGUGGGAACAUGCCCCUUCAAGAUGGUGCCUCUUUGGUUUCACCUAUCUUGAACCAAAUAUCCGUUUAGGCUUAAUGAGCUCUAAUACCAUAUUGAAAGCAAUAUAUACGAAACCAAAGCUUACGUGAAAACGCAAGAAUCGAAAGAAAAGCAUUGUGUUUGUAGAGGCACAAUUGGUUGUUUAAUAUAUAUCACUAACACUAUUGCUGCAAUGAUCGAUCAUCUCGAUGGAUUACCCAUUUAAGAGUUGUUGACAAGAGUUGACACUCUAGAAUCAAAAGUUGUAAGAACUAGAUGUUGUAAUUUAUGUCCUAAAACUCGUUGUAAUCAUAAUCUAUUCAAUUAAGUCGUUAUUGAUACUAUAAUCUUAAAGCCAAUAAACUAAGGACCCGAGGUUAUUAUUAAGUAAACUUGAACUUUAUGUAGAGACAUAAAAGUUGAUCAAGUUUAAGUAUAGAGCCUAAAUAGUAUAGAUUGUACGAAUACAGUUAGGCACCUUAUUCCAGGACACAAUGAAUGCAGUCUGCUUUGUAUUUAGUAUAAACGAUGUGAUCCUAAAUCCUAGAGACAUGAAAGUAUGGACAUCCUAUGUAAAGAGUUUACAAAAGAAUAGAACCAUGAAAUAGUCACUUUUAAGUUAUAACACCGUUAACUUUGAAAAACUUACUAUUUCAUUGAUAGAUAUCAAAUAUAACUUAAUCUUAAUACUGGGCUAACUAUAAGCUUUUGUUCUCACCAGCAUGCUUGUUUAAGGCGUUGUUUAUCUAUGGCCACAUGCCCAAAUACCCCCAAAUCACCUUUUCUUUAUGUCUUGUAUUUAGUUUAGUCUAUUGCUUUCCUUUUUAUGUCAUAGACCUAGGGUGUGAGGUGUCACACAUUUUCAUUUGCAAACCUGUCAAAGCUCAAAAAGUCUAAACUAUACUAUAGGAGAGACCCAAUAGUUGAAUCCCCAACCAUGUCUUAUCGUAUUCUUUAUAAUUAAAUUUUUAUUUGCAAUUGAAAGUCUUCAACGCAUUCUUUAAUGAUGUUUUUAAUGAUAUUCUCUCUCACAUUUUAUAAAACAAUUUUUUCAAGAACGAGAAGGGAGGUUAUAUCAUAUCGUGAGUUUGUUUGUGAUUUUCGGAUUUUACAUGCCUGACUUAUUGACUGAGCAAAACAAGUGUUCUACAAUUGUCCGUUCCAUGUUUGAAAGAUUGCGAUUGUUGUGGUACAGAGUGUCACAAGUGUGCUUGUCCAAGGCAUUAUUUGCCUAUGGUCGUAUGCUCGUAUAUCCUCAAACCACUUUAUCUUUAUGCUUUGUACUUAGUUUAGUCAACUGCUUUCCUUUUGUUGUCACCGACCUAAGGUGCGUCGUCGUUUGCAAUUUUCAUAUGCAAUGUUGUCAAUGCUAAAAAAGUUUAAGAUGUAUUGUAGGGGAGGCAUGGUAGUUGAAUCCCCAACUAAGCCCUAUUGUGAUUUUUGCAAAUCUAAGCUUUCUUUGUAAUUGACAAUAUUCAAUUUUUUCUUUAAGGAUGUUAUCAAUGUUUUUCUUUAUCUCUCACGUUUUAUAAAACCAAUUUCUCUCAAAAGAUGAAGCGAGGCUACAUCGUACCACAAGUUUGUCCGCAACUUUCAAAUUUCACAAGGUUGCCUUGUUCAUCAAUUUAGAACAAGUGUUGCACAAUCGCCCGUCCCGUAUUUGAAAAGUUGCAUUUUGUGACAAGUGGUAUUAAAGCUUUGUUAGCUCCUUGGCUAAGCGAGAUGCAAUUAUGUCAACAAUGAAACAACUAUCAAAGUUGCAACCGGAGCGACUGACUGAGAUUGAAGAGGAAUUCUUGGAUAUGAAAGAAUUGCCAAACGAAGUAAGAUUUCUCUAGACCCAACUUGAGAUGUUUAAAGAAAAAGUCAGAGAAAUAGACGCAUUGAAUGCCUAAAUAGACAAACUACCCAUAAAUGAAUUGGUGCUGAGGGUUGAUUCGUUAGAACAUAAAACCACCAAAGUAGGUAGUUUUGAACGUGGAAGUAGCUCUUCAAGUUCUAUUGCACAAAUGGAAGAGCGUGUCGAAGAUUUUGACUUUUGACAAGCUCCAACAUAAUCAGUUAUAUUUCAAGAAAGAGAAAAGUGUUUUUGCUAAAUAGCGUAUCAAUUUUCUAGGUCACAUCAUCGAAUGUAGAAAGAUUUGAAUGGACGAACAUAAGUUGUAAGCUAUUAAGGAGUGGAGAGCCCCCACUUCCGUGAAAGAGUUACGUUUCAUCCUUCAAUAUAUUCUAAAAUAGGGUUCACCUACUAUCCUCUAGACUCAGUACCGGGAGAAAGAAAUAGAUGGAAAAAGAAAUGGGCUUGGUAAUUUUUUUCUAUGUAAAUAAGAAAAAGAAAUCCAAUUUGGUACAAGAGCCCAAAUUCAAUAGCCAGCCCAUCAAAUGAGGUCAACGACCCUAUUUAUAAGGAUUUUCCAUGCAAAAUUGCAUGUCCAUGGAAUACUAAAGCCCAACAACUCAAAGCUCUAUUUCUAAUAUGAAAUUCGAUGGCUAUAACACAUAUACUUGUCAGUUUCUCUCUCUUCUCCCAAUUCGAACAAUUCGACUUAUUCCAUCACACUGUUUUAAGUUUAUUCCAUAUGAGCUAGCAAGGGAACCUAAUGGACCUAUAUAUCAUGGACUCCAAUGAUUCAAGAUUAAUUGACAAAAUUCUUAUAGACUGAGUUAAUCAACAUUCGUUAACUAACGGGUCAUUCAUGUAUGUACUGGAACGAUUCAGAAUCACCUCGUUUGUACUAACUACAAAGCGGGCGGCAUCCACAAUUUCUCUGAAAAAAUCUGGGUUACUACAACGUCACCACGAUGUACAAUUUUCCUGAUAAGAUGGUACUUACGUUCGAUAUGUUUUCCCCAUUUACGGCUUUUAGGUUCUCUUGAAUUUGCAACUGCACCACUGUUGUGACAGUAUAAAGUGAUUGAUAGAUGCAUAUUUGGAACGACUUUCAGAUCUGUCAAGAAUUUUCUUAGCCAUAAUGCUUCUGUUGUUGCUUCAAAAGUUGCUACGUAUUCUCCCUCCAUUGUGGAAUCAACUAUACAAGUUUGUUUUAUGCUUCUCCAAACUACUACUCUUCUAUUUAGAGUGAAUACUAAUCCUGAUGUAGACUUUCUAGCAUCUUUAUCAGUUUGAAAAUCAUAAUGAGUGUAUCCAGUAAGGAUCAAAUCUUUUGUACCAUACACGAGAAUGUAGUGUUUUGUUCUUCAAAGAUAUUUUAGAACAUUCUUAACGGUUGUCUAGUGAUCACGUCCAAGAUUGGACUGAUACCUACUGACCAUCCCUACUAAGUAGCAAAUGUCAGAUCUAGUACACAACAUUGCAUAUAUCAAACUUCCAACAGCGGAAGCAUAGGAAAUUUUUCUCAUAUCCUCAAUUUCUUGAGGUGUCUUAGGACAUUGUUCCUUUGACAAAUGAAUUCCGUAGAUGUAUAAUAGCAUACCCUUUUUGGAAUUCUACAUUUUAUAUCUAGACAACAUUUUGUCUAUAUAAGAUGCUUGAGACAUGGCUAGUGUUUUGUUCUUGCAGUUCUGUACAAUUUGGAUCUUAAGAACGUAUUGUGCAUUUCCCAGAACUUUCAUUUGAAAUUGCAUAGCUAGCCAUUUCUUGAUAUUAGUAUGAAAUCCUAUGUCCUUUUCCAAUAAGUAGAAUAUCAUCUACAUACAAGACUAAGAAUACUACAAUGGAAUUGACGACCUUUUUUGUAAACAUAAGGUUCGUCAACCUUUUGUAUCAAAGCCAUAAGAUUUGAUCAUAGUAUCAAAUCUUAUAUUCCAGGAUCUAGAUGUUUGUUUUAAUCCAUAAAUGGAUUUUUGAAUCUUACAAACCUUUUGUUCUUGAUCUUGAUCUAUAAACCCCUAUAAUUGAGUAAUAUAGAUACUCUCUUCAAGAUUGUCAUUAAAAAAAAAGUUGUCUUGACAUCCAUCUGCCAAAUUUCAUAAUCAUAAAACGUGGCGAUGCAUAAGACUAUUCUAAUUGACUUUAGCAUGGCAACGAUAGAGAAAGUUUCUUCAUAGUCUAUGUUAGAAAGAGACAUGCGCAGUGGAAAAAUGGAAUACAAAAUUCCCCUAAUUGCACCUAUUUAACUUGCAACCCUAAAUUAAAAGAAUUAGGGUUUAGGAAAUAUUAUACCUUUGUAUCUAUUCGAAUAUGAACGUCUAUACCUCUCACAAAAUUCCAAAAGUUUUUGAAACCAAAAUGUAACACCUUAAACUUAGGAUUUGGAAUUCGUAUCUCCAGCAUUCUCUGCAUCCCCUGCCACCUGGCAGCAUCAUCCUUACUAUUCUUAAAAACUUAUUAGAAUGAAAUUCCUCUUCACAAAACAACACGAAAUCUUUCAGCAUGCUUUUCCUCACUCACAUGCAUCCUAGGAAAAUUUCCAAGAGGUCACCCAACAUAGAAUUUCUUCAAGCUAAGCACGCUUAACUUUGAAGUCCCUAUAAUCGAGCCACCGAAAAAAAAAGGUUCACAUUGUUGGUAUAGGUAUUAAGUUUUAAUUCUUUUCAGUCUUUCUUAACAUGACUUUCAUGUCCUCAAGGUGCACCUUGUCGGUAUACUUGUCGAUUUCUCUCUCUUCUCUCAAUUCGGACAAUUCGACUUAUUCCAUCACAGUGUUCUAAGUUUAUUCCAUAUGAACUAGCAGGGAAACCUAAUGGACUUAUAUAUCAUGGGCUCCAUGAUCAAUAAGUUAAUCCUUCACAUGUUAUUCGUAACCUCGAAUGGAUCAAAUUACUGUUUUAUCCUUGAGACUACAUCUUAUUUCUUAAGUCUCAUUGAUCCACUAUUGAACAAUUGGUUUAAGGUCCAACCUAUAAACUUAAUCCCUCUCGGGCUAAUGUGAGGGUGGGGCCCCUUGUUCAAGACUUGGAUUAGUGCUUAAGAGAACAACCUAUCUACUAACCCUAAAACAGGUAGAAGUGAAUUUUUUCUUGCAUCCUAUGUUCCCAGCCAUUCAUCUGAUCUUACCCUUGAAAUAGGAGGCUUAUUGGGAGAACGUUGAUGAGAUACCCUCACCUAUGCAGAUGUAACCCUAAAACAAGUAGAAGUGAAUUCAGUCUUAUGUAAGUACUUUAUAGUGUUUAAGAGAACAACCUAUCUACUAACCCUAAAACAGGUAGAAGUGAAUUUUUUCUUGCAUCCUAUGUUCCCAGCCAUUCAUCUGAUCUUACCCUUGAAAUAGGAGGCUUAUUGGGAGAACGUUGAUGAGAUACCCUCACCUAUGCAGAUGUAACCCUAAAACAAGUAGAAGUGAAUUCAGUCUUAUGUAAGUACUUUAUAGUGUUUAAGAGAACAACCUAUCUACUAACCCUAAAACAGGUAGAAGUGAAUUAUGUCUUGCAUCCUAUGUUCCCAGCCAUUCAUCCGAUCUUACCCUUGAAAUGAGAGGCUUAUUGGGAGAACGUUGAUGAGAUACCCUCACCUAUGCAAAUGUAAGGAUAAUCUCAUGUGAACAGGAGUUCAUAGUUAGCUUAGGAUUAAGAUUAAGCUACCUAAGUCAUCAAUAAACGAAAUAGUCAGUUCUAAACAGUAAACGGUGUUUAACGUAAAAGUGACUAUUUCAUGGAUCAGUCUUAUGUAAGUACUUUACAUAGGAUGCCCCCACUUUCAUGUCUCUACAUGAACAAUUUAGGAUCACCUCGUUUGUACUAAUUACAAAGCGGGUCACAUCUGUAGUUUCUCUAAAUAAGGCACUAUAGACUAUUGAGGCUAUAUACUCGAACUUGAUCCACAUUUAUGUCUCGACAUAAAGUUCAAAUGUAUUAAAAAAUAGCAUCAAGACUUAGUUUAUUGGAUUUAAGAUUAUAAUUUUUAAUUUUUCAAUAAUGAUUUUAUUGAACUGAAUAUGAUAACAAACUACGAGUUUUAGGACAUAAAAUCCCAACAUAUGUAUUUUUGCCUCUAAUAAUAAUGUUGAAAGAUGUUUAUUGAUGUUGUCUCUUUGAUUUGGAGUCGCCAUGUAGGAGUUUCUCUGAUUGUGAGUUUCGUAAGAAAUUUACAUAACCACAAGCCUACCCUCCAUAUACAGUUUGGUAAGCACAUUCAGAGCCUAAGUGAGGAGGUUCGUAUUGCUAAAGAGUCCAUGGAUAAAGCUCAGAGAAAGGUUGGGCAAAAUCCUAUGUCUGAUGUUUUGAGUCGCCAAGCAGGUCUUGCCAUUGAGGCCUUUUGGACGGCUGUUAAAUUGGAGGAAGCCUUCAUGUGUUAGAAGUCCAAGAGGUUUGUGAGUUUCCUUAGAACUUGUGUUACCUCCUCGAUGUUCUCCAUUAUGAUUAAUGGCUCUUUCAAGGGUUUUUUAAUGGGAAGAAAGGUUUGCGGUAGGGUGAUCCUUUAUCUCCUUUCCUUUUUAUCAUGGUGAUGGAGGUCCUCUCUCGUAUGUUAAAUCGGCCUCCUCCGAGCUAUCAGUUUCACAGGCAUUGUGAGAAGGUUAGCUUAACUCAUCUGACCUUUGCUAAUGAUCUUAUGAUUUUUUGUGCUAUGAUGAUUCCUCUUUGAGUUUUAUUAACGAGACUAUUCGAAAGUUUGGUGAUCUCUCGGGGCUAUUUACUAAUCUUAGUAAAAUUUCUAUGUUUGUUGUAGGGGUUAAUAGUGAUGAUGUUUAUCGUUUGACUACCAGUUUGGGUUUUGUCCUCAGGCAUCUCCCUGUUCGUUAUCUUGGGCUUCCUUUACUUUCUGGAAGGUUACGACCUACUGAUUGUGCUCUCUUAUUCAACGUAUUACUAGUCAGAUUCAUUCUUGGUUUGCUAGAGUUUUAUCAUUUGCAGGUAGAUUGCAACUGGUUCAAUAUGUGCUUGAUAAUCUUCAGGUUUACUAGGCUAACGUGUUUGUGCUGCCUGUGAGUGUGCAUCAUGAGGUUGAUAAAAUCUUGAGGUCUUAUCUUUGGAGGGUAAGGAGGAAGGUAGAGGAGGUGUUAAGGUGGCGUGGGCUGAGGUGUGUUCCUUUUGAGGAGGGUGGUCUUGCUAUUCUUGAUGGGUCUUCUUAGAAUGUUGUGAGUACUAUGAAGAAUCUUUGGUUGUUGCUGACUAGUUCGAGUUUUCUAUGGGUUCCUUGGGUGGAGGCUUAUAUUCAUAAAGGAAGGUCAUUGUGGGAGGUCGAUUCUUGUGUUGGUCGGUCUUGGUGUCUUUGCGUUAUCAUGUGGAAACGAGAUAGUCUAAAAGAGCAUGUUCAGAUGGAGGUUGGGGAUGGUAGGCAUUGUAAACUGUGCCUGGAUCCGUGGUUGCAGGGUGGUCCUAUCCUUCAACAAGUUGGUGAGAGAGCGCUUUAUAAUGUAACGAGUAGAUAGGAGGCUAGGCUCUCUAAGUUUAUUGGUUCGAAAGGGGAGUGGAGGUGGUCGAGGGUGUCUUUGGAUUUGAUUAAUUUAUGGGAUAGGGUUCAAGUUGUAAGUUCGUGUCCUAAUGUUGGUGAUAGGUGGGUUUGGGUUCUUGGUCGUCAUAGUGGUUUUUUGAUUGCUAGUGCAUGGGAUACUAUUCAUCCUCGUAGUGUUAAGGUUCGUUGGACAGGUUUCUUGUGGGGUGGGAUUGAGAGUCUCGUUAUCAUUUGUUUUUUCAUGUCCUUUUGGGUGUGAUAUUUAGUCUCGGGUCCUUCAGGUUAUGGCUUCCUCUCACAGGAUUGGGUAUUGGAGGGUUGAGUUGUUUGGGGUUUGUCAUUAGAGUAUUGGUAAGGGUGUGAGAAGGAAGUUGUGGUAUGUUCUCUGGUGUGCUACGAUUUAUUUUAUGUGAAAGGAGCAUAAUCAUUGUCUCCAUGGUGGUCAAGCUCGUGAGCUCAUUGUUCUGUUUCAGCUUAUUCCAUCUUGUAUCAGUGCUCGUGUUGUUUAUUUGCGUGAGGAUGCUCAUGGUAUUAUUUAGCUUGUUUUCUUUUGAUUUUUGUUUUAUCUGCUUGUUCUCGGGCUGUGGGGUUGUUUGGACUUUUUAUGUUUUUGUUGCUCUUAAUUUUGUUGGGUUUAUUAUUGUUCUUUCUUUUGAUACUUUGGAUUCUUCCUAUUUUUGUGAGCAUUGUCCGCUCUUGUGAGGUCAUCCUUGUUGUAUUAUGAUAUUAACUUUUCAAAAAAAAAAGAAAGAUAAUGCAAUUCAACUUUAGAUAAAAACAUGAUUCGAAUUUUCAUUUCAAGAAAAUACAAGGGGACAGAACUUUUCUUUCACUAUUUCAAUUACUAGAAUCUAAAUUUCAAUUCUCACUUUUUUGUAUUUUGAAUUUACAAGCCUCUUUUUUCUUUCUUUGGUAUGAAAGGUGGCAACUAGGCCUUGCUAGAACGAGUGGGGUAACCUUUCUAUGGUUCUACACUUAGUUUCGAAGUUCGAAGUUUUCCUCCUACAGUGGAUCAUCGCUAUUGAUUUUUCUACUGUUAAUUCGACCUCCCACGAAUUCUCUUCUUCUAAGGAUUCACUUUUCUUUAAGGCUCUGCACUCUACUAAAAAGCCUUGAUCUUCUUCCCCCCAAUGUUUUCAUAAACUUCUUAAGACAGACCCUGACCUUGGUUAGGCUCGGAUCUCCUUGGAUUAUCACCUUCUUCCCCUAAUAUAUCAAUGUUAACAUCAUAUUCUUCCAAUCCACUCCAGUCGUUCCCAAGGAAUACAAUCACUGCAUUCCAAGUAUGGCAACUACCCCUCCCAACUUCAAGGGUAAAAACUCAUUCACUACCUUCUAGUCUCCCAGCAUUAACUCAACAUCUUCACAAAUUACCUUCCCUUUGACUACAGUGCCCGAGCCCAAAAUGACUCCAUAAUUCGACGUUUCUCUUGUACUCAGUUGCAACUCUUUCACUAUUUUUUUUAAAUGAAAUUGCGUGUGACUCCACAAUCAAUUAGUACUAUAGCCACCUUCCCUUGUAUCAUCUCUUUUACCUUCAUUUUCCCUAGGUUGGAUAAUCCCACCACAUAAUUAAUGGAUAAUUCCACCAUCACUUGACUCUCCUCUACGAUCUCAGGGGCAUUCAAUUCUUUCUGAUCAAUUCCUCCUUCUUCAAUAAUUUCAUACUCCUCGCCUUCUUCCUUGACAACAAUCAUUCGCAAUUCCCUUUGCUCUUUCAUCUUGCAUUUGUGGUCAUGAGAAUAUUUCUCAUUACAACGAAAGCACAAUCCCUUCUUUCUAGAUUGAAAUUCAGCAUCAAAUAAGCGCUUCGUCUGUCCCUUUUUCCGUACUUCCUCUUUUGUUGUUCCUCGUAGAGUAAUAGUUCUCAUCGGCCAAUUCAUUCUCCUUUACUUUCUUCUGUAUUCAAUGGUAUUAGCCUUGGUGCUAUUAUGGGAGUUUAUCACCUUUUCUCCAGAAUAUCCAGAAAGAUUUGCUUCCUGACGUAUAUCUUCCUUGUUCUCUACCUUUUGCGCGAUUCGUAUCAUUUGUGCUAAUCCCUUCGACUCACAUAAAUCCAUCUCGCGUAGAUCCAUAGUUUCAAUCCCGACAUAAAUGUCUCUUUUACCACCUUCUCUAAUAGGUCCGACAAAGGAGCUACCCACUUAUCGAAUAAAUUUUGAUAUUCCUCUAUCGUUGUCUUUUGUUGAAUUUGCAAGAACCUUACAUACAGCGAUUCCUCCCUAACGGAUCGAAAUCGCACCAAUAAUCUUUCCUUCAUAUUCACCCAAUCUACAAAGUUCUCUCGUUCUUCUUGAGAACGGUAAAAGUUCAAUGCUAGUCCCUUAAAACUAAUAGUGGAUACAGUCAUUUUCUCAAAUUCAGUAAGUUUAUGAAUGUGCAAAUACCUCUCUACGCGAAACAGCCAAGAAUCAGGAUCAUCUCCAUUGAAUAUCGACAUCUCCACCUUCUUAAACUUAUUGCAGUCACUAUUACUUUCAUCAUCUAUUUUCUUUCCUUCCUUCCUUGUUUCGUUCUCCCAUCUUGGUCACCCUUCGCCUUCGUCCACAUUCUUCGUCGAUGAAUUGUGCAUUGUUGUCGAUUCCAUAAUUCGUAACAUCAUCUGAUUCUACCUCUCCAUAUUUUUGGAUAGUUUGGCAACGUCUUUUCGAUCACCAGUAUCUUACUAAUCUCUUUCUUAAUGUCCUGUAUUUCCUGGUCAAACGUCUCCAUCUCUUCGAUUCGAGUCUGAAACCAUUUGCAUUCUUCUUGCCCAAGAUCAAUGCUCUAAUACCAAUUUGAUGGAAACCAGUCUUGGAAUAAAAUUGCUACUAUAUUAUUAAUGAUAGAAUAGGAAUGAAAUCCUAAUUACAAUAUGAAAUCCCUCUCCUGUUAUCCUCUCUCUCAAGGAAGAAUAGAAAUUCACUUUCUCAAACAAAACCUAACUUUCCCGCCCACGAUUACUUUUUAUUUAUACUAACAAUAAGGUAACUAACCCUUCCCUUUACUAACCCUCACAUGCUAUUCAUGUGCACGUGAUAUUUUUUUUUAAUUUCUUUAUCCCUCUUCUGCUGUACAGAUGUAAUAUAGGGGGUCUAUCAGAUUCCUCCUCUUUUCAAAGCCUCCAAUCAAACUCAAUGCUAAGUUUGACUGCUCCCUUCAGAGUGACGACCCUCAUUUUCCCCCUUCCGUGGUUUGGGGAGGAUUCCUCCUCUUUUUAAAGCCCUCAAUCAAACUUGAUGCUAUGUUUAGAACGCUAAGAAUAGGUGGUUUAGUUUUGGUUAGGCCAAAAGUGAAAUUUUCCCCCACAAGCACUAAUAGUUAGGGAACUCAACACAUUCUACUUGACUUAAUCGACUUGACUCUCUAAUUUUUAUGAGCUUUUUUCAAUGCAUAUUGCAUAUGUUUUUUUUAUAGUUGUUGAUUGUCUCACAUUUUUAUGGUUUGCAUUUACAAGCCCCUUUUUUCUUUCUUUGGUAUGAAAUAUGGUAAUAGGCCUUGCUAGAACCGGUGGGGUAAUCUCUCUAUGGUUCUACACUUAGUUUCAAAGUUUGAUUACUCCCUUCGAAGUGACAACAAGCCUCGUUUUCCCCUAUUGUGGAUCAGAGAGGAUUCCUCCUCUUUUCAAAGCCCACAAUCAAACUCAAUUAGAGUAAAAAGGAAAAAUUUUCAUCUCGGCGCGUGUACCUCACACGCAUCUCUCUAGGAUUUCCAAGUUCUCUCACUCGGCUGGUGAAGGAGGCGAACGGUUGGUGAGUGCUGCGGCCAGCAAGGGAUCAAAUUCGAAGGUAAUUCGUUCAAUUUUGGCAGAUUGAAUGUGAAAACUAAUGUCAUUUGGUAUCCAUUUCGAAAUUGAUUACAAUUGAUCAAUUGAACCAUUACGAAUGAUAUUCGUUUUGAUUCGGGAGAAUUAACGUCUGUCCAGAAAUUGUUUAAAUCGGUUUCCAAGCUGAAUUGAUUUGAACUAUCUUGAAAGUAUUGCGUGUGGUACAAAAUCGAUUUAUUGGCUAUCAGUUCUGGGUUUGGAGACUGUGAUUUAAUUCACUCUGCUCGCAUGAAUCUCCUCGGUUGAAUUUCAAUUCUUUUUUAGUUCAUUCAUGUUCCCAAAUUGGCCGAAAAGAUCAUCACGGGUGUUGGGUUGAUGUCUUAAGCAUGAAACAAUGAAGAAAUUAUCCAGUGACAUUGAGGAGGUGAAGAAACGCGUGAUGUCAAGCCUUCAACGCGUACAUGAUAUGGCGGCGAACGACCGAAGGGCGGCGACUGCAAAGGCUUGUGAGGAAGAAAUGGUCGGACAUGAGUGGACCCGAACCGGUUUACGUGAACCAUGAAACAUAUAGAAAUCGAAAUACAGGAAAUGGACCGAGCGGAGAUGGUCCCAUGAAGAUUGUUGGCCCAAAGGCGUGUGGACCGAUUGUUUCGAAUGAAAACUUGAUGAAGCCCAGUGAGCCGGUAAAGGGGUGAAGCCGAAUGGUGUGUUCACAUUUACGAAUGGAAUUGGUCAUGGAUCUCUGGUUGAUGGGCCAUCGUUGAAUGAUGGGCCGUCCAUCUCACACGAAAUUGGGAUCUCACAGAAGGAGUGCUUACCUGCUGGUGCUUCAUGUGUUCAGCAUGUUGGGCAAAUUGCAGCGGCCGAAGGAUAUGGACCUCGACUGGAUGCUAUUGCAAGUGCCCAAAGAUUGGGCCGGUUGAUGGGCAUUUGAAUGAUGGGCCAGCCAUUAGAGAACCGUUUGGUACUAAUUCCAAUGGUAGGCCGCCUGUUUCGAUUCGUGGGCAUGAGGUGCAGAAAUCUAAUAAUUCUAGAGGUGCAGGCAAAAAUUCAUGGGCUUCCUUAUUUGGCUCAACAAGAGGUUUCUCUAUGACCUAUACACCUCUGACUACCGUGGGAGAGAAAAUUGUGGUGACCCCGUUUGAAGAAGUUAUUAGUUAAGGAGUUAGAGUGUGGGAGAACUCCCUCGUCAGCCAAUUAAUUGAUGCAAAAUUGUUGUAUCUAGUCAUCUAUCGUCUUAUAGAGAAGAUUUGGGGUAGAAUUGAAAUGCCAACAAUUACUCUGAUGGAGAAUGGGCUCAUCUGCUUUCAAUUCAAACAUCUGAAGUCAAUACAGUGGAUCUUAUCCCGUGGCCCAUGGCACCUUGGAGGCAAACCUAUGCUCCUCCGCAAAUGGACUCCAGGUAUAGUUCCUGAAUCCUUCGUCUUUGAUUCAGUUCCUGUUUGGAUAAAGUUAGGGAGGAUUCCGUUGGAGCUAUGGACGGAUGCUGGUUUGGCUGUGGUAGCGAGUGCAAUAGGAAAACCUCUUUUAGUUGAUCUUGCUACUAAAGAGAGGCGUCGUCUUUCUUAUGCCCGUAUAUGUGUGGAAUUGAAUGUGGACAAUAUUAUGCCUGCCGAAGUAACAGUCAACCUUAGAGAGAGAGGAAUUUAUUGUAACUGUCACUUAUGAGUGGAAACCGAAAAAAUGUAACUUGUGUAGAUCUUUUGGACACUUGCAGAACACCUGCCCUAAGAAAAGAGGCAAUGAAGAUAGUAAAAAGGAAGCUGCAAGUAAAGAGGUUCCUGUUAAAGAGGUUGUUCCUACUAAAGAGGUGGUUCCAGAUUGUGGGGAGUAUGGAGAUGUUGUGUUGGAAUCCUUCCAACACAUGGAAGAAGGAGAAAUUAUUACCCAUAAACUUCCUGAAAAGGUGGAGGUGAAUCGGGAGGAAUUUACCCCAGUUGACAGGAAAAAUAGGGGAAUGAUCUCUAUUCGGGACAGAGGGAAAAGGGCAGAAGUGAGUAUCACUAACUCCUUUAAGAACCUCAUGGAGGUGGAUAAAGGAGAUAAAUGGCUUUUAUCUAUAGUGGAUGGCUCCCCUCCUCCCUUACGAGUAGAUGACUCUUUAUGGUCCUUUUGAGUACUACAGGUGAUGUAAUUCCUAUGGGAGAGGCGGCUCCCAUAUGACCUCAUGGUUAGUUGGUGUACGUGGAACGUGCGGGGCCUUAAGAGCCCUGUAAAGUGUAGAGCGGUGAAGGACCGGGUAUGGUCUUGGGUGAUUUUAACACCAUCAGACUCCACUCUGAAGCCUUUGGGGGUGCUCCGAACGUGGUGGAUAUGGAGGAGUUUGACAUGGCUAUUAAAGAGGCGAACCUUGUUGAACCCGCGGUCCAGGGGAACUGGUUUACUUGGACUAGUAAGAUACAUGGGUCGGGUUUGAUGAAGAGACUUGAUCGUAUCCUAGUGAAUGAUGAGGGGCUUAGUACAUGGCCUAACAUGAGGGUUAACGUCCUCCCGUGGGGUAUUUCUGAUCAUUCUCCCAUACUUGUCGAUCCUAGUAAUCAGCGAAGCCAACAAGUGGUCUCUUUUCGUUUCUUUAACCAUUGGGUUGAAGAAGCGUCCUUUAUGGAUGUUGUGUCCUCUACUUGGACCAAAGAUACUAGAGUUUCUCCAAUUGUGAAUAUUGUGAGGAACUUAAGAAAUCUCAAGUCGAUUCUUCGCAGACAUUUUGGUAGGCAUAUCCGGACCAUCAGUGAGGAUGUUCGUCUUCCAAUGAUACCAUGGACCGAGCUCAAAGAGAGAUGGAGACGAACUCUCUGUCGGAGGAGGCGAGUAAUCACGCGAGCUUAGCCACGGUAAACUUUUGGAAAGCGGUUAGAGUGGAGGAAGCCGCUAUGCGCCAGAAGUCGCAAAUCAGAUGGUUGAAGCUAGAUGACCAGAAUACUGCCUUUUUUCAUCGAUCUGUUCGAUCAAGGCAGAGCAGCAAUGCUUUGAGAUCAGUUAUUGACCCAGAUGGAAAUCGGUUGACUAACUAUGAUUAGGUGACUCGGGUGGUAGUGAAUUAUUUCAAAGAUAUAUGGGUUCUCAGAAUAUUAGCUAUAGAGAGCUCUCUACUAGUAUUGAGGAGAUUGUUCAGUUUAGAUGGACUGAGAAGUGUUGUCAGGCCCUCCAGUCGCCUAUUGGUAGGGAGGAAGUGAGACUUGUUCUGUUCUCCAUGGAUGGUGGAAAGGCUCCAGGCCCGAUGGGUAUUCAGUUGGCUUCUUCAAAGGAGCUUGGAGUGGUUGAAGAAGGUUCUCUGUGAUGUCGUCUUACACUUCUUUGAGACCAAUUACUUCCCUCAAGGGGUGAAUACGACUAUUACACUUAUUCCUAAAAGGAAUGGUGCUGAUCGAUUGGAGGAUUUCAGCCCUAUAUCUUGUUGCAGCGUUAUUUAUAAGUGCAUUUCAAGAAUAUUGGCAGAUAGGCUUCGUGUGUGGCUUCCUUCUUUUGUUAGUGGAAAUCAGCCAGCUUUCAUCCCUGGGAGGAGUAUUAUUGACAAUAUUCUUCUUUGUCAGGAGCUUGUAGGGGCAUACCAUUUGUACAGAGGUAAACCUCGGUGCACUAUGAAGGUUGACCUCCACAAAGCUUAUGAUUCUGUUAAUUGGGAUUUCCUCUUUGGCCUGCUGAUUGCCAUAGGUACGCCUUUAAGAUUUGUGAGUUGGGUUCGAGCGUGUGUGACCUCUCCGAUGUUCUCCAUUAUGAUUAAUGGAUCGUUGGAAGGUUUUUUCCAUGGGAGGAAAGGACUUAGACAAGGUGACCCUUUAUCCCGUUCUUAUUUGUGAUGGUCAUGGAGGUGCUUUCUCGCAUGUUGAACAACCCACCUCAGAAUUUUCAAUUCCACCAGUUUUGUGAGAAGGUCAGAUUAACUCAUCUUACUUUUGUAGAUGACCUGAUGAUCUUUUGUACUGCUGAUAAUCAUUCUAUGAGUUUCAGAAAGAGACUAUUAAGAGGUUUGGUGAGCUUUCGGGACUGUUUGCUAAUCUUCCUAAAAGCUCAAUUUUUCUUGUCAGGGUUAAUAGUUCGAAAGCUUCUCGGCUUGCUGCUAACAUGGGUUUUUCCUGAUAGAACUAAGUCAUGCACAGCGGAAAAAGAAUCGAAUUUCUACCCUAAUUGCCACAAUUAACAUGUAACCAUAAACUAAUCAAAUUAGGGUUUUAAGAAGUAUUACCUUUGAAGCUUUCAAAAGGUUUGAUGUUUCUUACCAAUUCUACCCGAGACCACCACUAGUACUCAACUGCUAUCCUCUAGACAAAGAACCGGGUUGUGGGACCCAAUUUUGGUGUAGAAAGUAGUGGAGAUAAAAUGAGAUUGGAAGCUUUUUUUUUUCUUUUGUUGAGAUUAUGAAAAUGAUAAAGAGGCAAAAUCCUUCAACAUUUGAAAACAUCUCUAUUUAUAGCCUAAUUACAUGCAAAAUGCAUGCAAUUCAAUUGCCAAAUCUCAACACCUAAUAUUCCACUAACAAUUAGUGGAACUUAGUGGGCUAGGUGUCUAUAUAUCAUAUAGCCACAUAUCCCACUAAGAGUUAGUGGGAUUAUCCAACAAAAUGUUGGAUUUUCCCACUAACUUAGUCCAAGGGUAAAAUGGUCAUUAGAUUUUUUAGUCAAAAGUCAAACUUUGACUUUUCUAAGUCAAAAGUCAAUAUUUUGACUUUUUACCAUUUUGUCCGUCUUGACUAAUUCCAACCUCCCGAGCAUGAAUCCGCAUUCAUUUUUCCAAAAUUCAAAUCACAUUUGAAUAUAAGGCCGGUCAAAGUUUGACUUUUCAAAGUCAAAAGUCAACAUUUUGACUUUUUACUAAUUUUGACCAAUUCCGAGCUUCUUAGUAUGAAUCCGCAUUCAUACUUAUAGUAUGUAAAACAUAAAGCUCUAUUUCUAAUUAGAAGACGACGAUUAUAUCACUGUAUAUAUGUCGGUUUUCCUUCCUUCUCCCUAUUCGAACAAUUCGAUUAUUUCAUCACACUGUUCUAAGUUUAAUCCAUAUGAGCUAGCAGAGGAACCUAAUGGACCUAUAGAUCAUGGGCUCCAACGAUUCAAGAUUAACUAGCUAAACUCUUUUAAACCGAGUUAAUCAACAUUCGUUAACUUAACGGGUCAUUCCACUAAAGUCCCGUAGUUGCACUCCCUCACUAUAGAUAUAUUUGUGUCAUUUGAUAAAACCAUAAUCAGUAAGUUAAUCCUUCACAGGUUGCUCGUAACCUUGGCUGGGUCAAAAUACCGUUUUACCCCCAAGAUUACAUCUUGCUCCUUAAGUCCCACUAAUCCACUAUUGAACAAUUGGUUUAAGGUUCAACCUAUAACUUAUCCCCUCUCGGGCAAUGAGAGGGUGGGGCCCCUUGUUCAAGACUUGGAUUCAGUGCUUAAGAGAGCAACCUAUUACUAACCCUAAAGCGGGUAGGAGUGAAUUCCAUCUUGUACCCUAUGUUCCCAGCUAUCCACCGAUCUUACCCCUGAAAUGGGAGCUUAUUGGGCCAACGCUGAUGAGCUGCCCUCACCUAUGCAGAUCUAAGGAUAAUCUCGUAUGAACAGGAGUUCAUAGUUAACUCAGGAUUAAGACUAAGUUACCUAGGUCAUCAAUAAUUGAGAUAGUCAGUUUUAAACAGUAAACGGUGUUAUAACGUAAAAAUGACUAAUUCAUGGUUCAGUCUUAUGUAAACAUUUUACAUAGGAUGCCCCCACUUUCAUGUCUCUACAUGAACGAUUAGGAUCACAUCGUUUGUACUACAAAGUGGGCCGCAUCCAUAGUCUCUCAAAAUAAGGCGCCCAACCUUUAUUUCAUAUACUAUAGACUAUUUAGGCUAUAUACUCGAACUUGAUCCACGUUUAUGUUUACACAUAAAGUUCAAGUUUAUUCAAAAAAAUAGCCUUGGAACUUUGAUUUAUUGGAUUUAAGAUUAUAAUAUUUAAUUUCUCAAUAACAACUUUAUUGAAUAGAAUAUGAUUUACAAACUACGAGUUUUAGGACAAAAAAUUCCAACAUUUCCAUCGGUCAUCUCCUUGUUCGUUAUCUUGGGCUUCCUCUCCUCUCUGGAAGAUUGUGGAGCUCUGAUUGUGAUCCCCUUAUUCAGCGUAUUACCAGUCGUAUUCGGUCUUGGUCUGCUAGAGUGUUAUCUUUUGUAGGUAGACUUCAGCUUGUUCGCUCAUUCCUUAGGAGCCUUUAGGUUUAUUGGGCUAGUGUGUUCAUGCUUCCUAUGAAAGUCCAGAGAGACGUUGAUAAGAUCUUGAGGGCUUUAUCUGUGGAGAGGUAAGAAGGAGGGAAGAGGUGUUGCUAAAGUUGCCUGGUGAGGUUUGUCUUCCUUUGAUGAAGGAGGUCUUGAUAUUUGCGAUGGAUCUUCUUGGAAUAUAGCAAGCACGUUGAAGAUAUUAUGGUUGCUACUUGUUAAAUCUGGUAGUUUGUGGGUUGCUUGGGUGGAAUCUUAUAUCCUUAAAGGGAGAUCGCUGUGGGAGAUCGAUGCUGGGGUGGGUCGAUCUUGGUGCUUUAGGGAAAUCUUACGUAAGCAGGAUAUCCUUAAAGCUCAUGUUAAGAUGGAGGUGGGCAAUGGAAGGAAGUAUAGAGUGUGGUUGGUUCCAUGGAUUCAGGGUGGGCCAAUUAUCCAGCAGCUUGGGGAGAGGGUGAUCUAUGAUGCGGGUAGUCGGUGGGAUGCGAGGCUGGUGGAUUUCAUGGGUCGGGAUGGUGAUUGGAGGUGGCCACUUGUUUAUUUGGAUUUGAUGGACAUUUGGGAUAGGGUUCAGGGAGUGAGGCCGAGUCCGAGUGUUGAGGAUAGGUGGGUUUGGGUGCCGGGGAGUCAUGAUAGUUUUUCGAUCACCAGUGCGUGGGAGACUAUUCGUCCUCAUAGUAGUAGGGUUGGCUAUUCGUCCUCCUUUUGUGCUUGGUUGGCCAUCAUGGAUAGGUUGGGUACUAGAGGUAGGUUAAGUCGGUGGGAUAGGCCGCUUCCUUUAUCGUGUUUGCUUUGUGGAGGGAACUAUGAGUCUCGUGAUCAUUUGUUUUUUUUCUUGUCAUUUUGGGUGGGAGAUUUGGUCGAGGAUCCUUUUGCUUAUGUCAUCUUCUCAUAGAACCGGUUAUUGGGGGGUUGAGUUAUCUUGGAUUUAUAAUCAGGGUAUUGGGAAGAGUGUGAGGAGAAAACUGUGGCGCUUCUCUAGUGCUACAAUUUUAUUUCAUUUGGCAGGAGCGAAAUCAUCGUCUUCAUGGAGGUGCUAUUCGGGAGCCUCUGGUUGUAUUCCAGCUCAUUCGGUCGUGUAUUAAAGCGCAUGCUGCUUCUUGGUCGGAUGGUGUUCAUGGUCUUAUUUAAUGUUCUUUUCGUUUGCUUGUCCGGGUUGUGGGGUUUCUCUUCUCUUUAUUAACUUUGUUGUCUUUCUCUCUUCUUCUUGUCCUUUUAAUGUUUGGAACACUAGUUGUUGGUUCUUUUGGUUUUAGUUAUUGUUCCCGAGAUGUGGGGUUGUUUUGGGUACUUAUGGGUUGUUUUGUCUAACUACUUGUUCUGUGAGUGUUGUUCGCCUCUUUUGUCUUGACCUCAGGCUGUGAGGUGCACAAUUGUUGUUGUAUAAUAUUAUCAUUACCUUUUCAAAAAAAAAAAAAAAAUCAAACUCAAUGCUAAGUUUGACUGCUCCUUCGAAGUGACAACAAGCCUCGUUUUCGCCCUACUGUGGAUCGUGGAGGAUUCCUCCUCUUUUCAAAGCCCUCAAUCAAACUUGACGUUAUGUUUAAAACACUAAAAAUAGAUGGUCUAGUUUUGGUUAGGCCAAAAGCGAUGUUUUCCCCCAAAAGCUCUAAUAGCUAGGGAACUCAACAUGUUCUACUUGACUAACCGACUUGACUCUGCAUUUGUUAUGAGCUUUUUUAAUGCAUAUUGCAUAUGUUUUUUUAUAAUUGUUGAUUGUCUCACUUUGUAUGGUAUGCCUUUACGAGCCUCUUUUCUUUCUUUGUUAUGAACUGCGGUGACUAGGCAUUGCUAGAACCGAUGGGGUAACAUUUCUAUGGUUCUACACUUAGUUCUAAGUGUGAUUGCUCACCUCUAAUUUUCAAAACACUUAAUUUCUAAGACAUAUCAAUGUUCACUAGAAAAAAUUGAAAAUUGUUGUAGUUAAGAUCAAAACUAAAUAGUUAUGAAAUAAGACAUAAAUUUGAUUUAACAACCUUCCCGUUGUACUUGGAUCCACUCUGGCUUUGUGCUGGAAAAUUGGUUUGGAGCUGAUCGUAACUUUCGGGCUUCUAUAACCUUAGAUACUCUUCAAAGCUAUAAGCUUUGGCUUCUGACGAAGAAUCUUCUACUAUUACAAUACAUAAGAAAAUUCUAUUUCACAAACCCUGUAAUAAUUGAGGCUGAUAGAAAUUAUUCUAUAACCCUACCGAUAGUUUCAUUCUUAACAUUCAUAGACACGAUGCAUGGCAGCUAUCCAAUUCUAUUUCAUGUUUCGAGAAUGCUCGGUUUAACAUAAUGUUAAUUUUUGUUUUCUAAUUUAAAAUAAUAACGCUGGCUUACUAAUCUUUUUUUUUUUUUUCAUUUGCAUUCUACUUUUUCUACUUAGCUUCUUUCCCUAGUGAAACAAAUAACACGGGUGAUAAUAAACUAAUCACUCACUUGUUUCAGCACCGAAAGCCCUUCUGUUCAUGAACUCUCAUUUCAUCGAGACUAAUUUCUCACUCAAACAUGUCUUGCAUUCUCUAGAAACGUCCUACAAACAAAAAGAAGAACAAAAACUACAAUAAGGUCUAUAAAAAGUUACAUAAGGAAAAUCUCAAAAACUGAUAUGUAAGUCAUAACAACCUUAAGUCCUCUUAUCGUGGGUUAAAAUGCCGUAAGGUUUUUCCAAGAGUCCGAGCAACUAGCAUGUAAAAAGUUAAGUCAACUAAAAUUUGCUAUAAAUUACUCGUAUUAACAUUAUCAUUGUUAGACUUGACAACUUCAAAUUUAUCAAUAUAAAAUAUCUUUAACAAAACGUACCUUGAGGUUCCUCCAACCUCAUAUAAAAAAGCAAAUAAUGCAAAAAAUUAACAAAUUUAUAGUGCAUAUUAUUAUAUCAAUUGAUCACAACAAAAUAAGAUCGAACAAAACCUAUGAGUAAUAUAGCCACCAAAUGAAUAACGAUGAAAACCGAAAACAAAACCGAGAAAAAAAAGGAAACAAUUCAUCAACAAAACAAAUUUAGGGGACUAAAAAAUGCUUACUUAUUACACACUUCAAAAUAUUAAGAAAAGUGGAGGGAAAAAACCAACCAAUAAUCAACAAAUAAACUUCAACACAAAUAGCCAUAAAUUUCUCUUUAAAGGUAUCACAAAUAAGUCCAUCAGUAAUAACAAAAUAAAAAGGGCAAUGUGCAAUUGAAUUCUGCAGUCGUAAAGCUAUGCUAAAGGCAAUAUGAAAUCAAACUUGAGCAAUAACAAGAAAAUUUGCAAAACAAAAAUUACUAGACAUCAUUAACUAAAGUACCACACAACAAUGAAUGUGUAACCUCCGCAAGAGCAAAACCCGAAUGGAGAAAACAUGAGAAAUAUAUAAAUAGAAGAAAACAUAAAACAAACAUGAAACACAUGGAAAUAUACAAAGGAUAAAUAAAAAGUACACAUUAUAAAGUGAUGAAGCACAAUAUAGGUAUCAACAGAACCAGAAUAAAUCUUACCCUAAUCUCGACUGUCGAGGAGUGUUAACCAACCGUCGGAAGGUUGUUUUAUUUUUAGAAAAAUUUAAUGUUGUCUGAAUUCUUUCCAAGCCACUAACCAGCCCUCCUUAAUCUAUGAUCGCGAUCAACUCCUCAACAUCUAAUUACAUUUAAAAGAGUGAUGCGAACAUUGUGUGAAAUCCCAAACCUUUGAUGGAUCCACCAUCACUCUCUUCUAUCCCCUUCAAAACCUCAUUAUUUUCAAGAGAGGCCUCAAAGCUUCUUCCAUUAACAUAAAAAGAAUGAAAGAGAAGGAAGAAAGGGAAAGUGGUUCAAAAGCUAUGGAAGAAAAAAGUAAAAGAAAAUGGUCUACUCAUUGGCACAUUCUACACAGAUGAUAAUGUUAAGGCCAGGCAAUGAGAGACAGAAAUGCUUUUGGAGCUUCUCCUCUACUUUCGAAGAUUUUAACAAACUAAAAUAUGCAAAUGUUACAAGAAAGAUCUUUGGAGAUUUGAAAUAAUCCAAAAUAAAGAAAAAGGAAAACCCCAAUAUAUACAAAUUUCAGAAUCUAAAACUUGAAAAGUGAAUCGAAUGAUGAGAUAUGUUGUACAAUCAAUUAUAGAGACAGUGAAAUUAAAACAAAAAUGAAACGUAUCAAGAAAAAAGAAUAGCAACUAGUAUUAUGACCUUUGUAUAUCUUCAAAAAUACAAACAUAAAAAUGAAUCAAGAGAUCUACCACACAAAUAAUGGUAUCAACACAAAUAAAGCAAUUGUUUUAGUAACAAUAUUUGAGUACAAUUAAACUAAGCAUGCUAUUGUCCUUGACAAAUUUACAUUCUUCUAAUCGAACAAAAUCUGACCUUUAAAUAGUGAUAGAAACUGAAGAUGAAAGCAAGUUUAGCUACAACUUCAGACCGUGAUAUAUAUGACUGUUGGAAUUUUUUGUCCUAAAACUCGUAGUUUGUAAAUCAUAUUCUAUUCAAUAAAGUUGUUAUUGAGAAAUUAAAAUAUUAAUAAUCUAAAUCCAAUAAAUCAAAGUUCCAAGGCUAUUUUUGAAAAAUAACUUGAACUUUAUGUGUAAACAUAAACGUGGAUCAAGUUCGAGUAUAUAGCCUAAAUAGUCUAUAGUAUAUGAAAUAAAGGUUGGGCGCCUUAUUUUGAGAGACUAUGGAUGCGGCCCACUUUGUAGUAAAACGAUGUGAUCCUAAUCGUUCAUGUAGAGACAUGAAAUGGGGGCAUCCUAUGUAAAAGUUUACAUAAGACUGAACCAUGAAUUAGUCAUUUUUACGUUAUAACACCGUUUACUGUUUAAAACUGACUAUCUCAAUUAUUGAUGACCUAGGUAACUUAGUCUUAAUCCUGAGUUAACUAUGACUCCUGUUCAUACGAAUUAUCCUUAGAUCUGCAAGGUGAGGGCAACUCAUCAGCGUUGGCCCAAUAAGCCUCCCAUUUCAGGGGUAAGAUCGGGUGAUAGCUGGGAACAUAGGGUACAAGAUGGAAUUCACUCCUACCCGCUUUAGGGUUAGUAGAUAGGUUGCUCUCUUAAGCACUGAAUCCAAGUCUUGAACAAGGGCCCCACCCUCUCAUUGGCCCGAGAGGGAUUAAGUUUAUAGGUUGAACCUUAAACCAAUUGUUCAAUAGUGGAUUAGUGGGACUUAAGGAGCAAGAUGUAAUCUUGGGGGUAAAACGGUAUUUUGACCCAGCCAAGGUUACGAGCAACCUGUGAAGGAUUAACUUACUGAUUAUGGUUUUAUCAAAUGGACACAAAUAUAUCUAUAGUGAGGGGAGUGCAACUACGGGACUUUAGUGGAAUGACCCGUUAGUUAACGAAUGUUGAUUAACUCGGUUUAAAAGAGUUUAGCUAGUUAAUCUUGAAUCGUUGGAGCCCAUGAUCUAUAGGUCCAUUAGGUUCCUCUGCUAGCUCAUAUGGAUUAAACUUAGAACAGUGUGAUGAAAUAAGUCGAAUUGUUCGAAUAGGGAGAAGAAAGGAAAACCGACAUAUACAGUGAUAUAAUCGUCGGUCUUCUAAUUAGAAAUAGAGCUUUAUGUUUACAUACUAUAAGUAUGAAUGCGGAUUCAUACUAAGAAGCUCGGAAUUGGUCAAAAAUAGUAAAAAGUCAAAAUGUUGACUUUUGACUUUGAAAAGUCAAACUUUGACCGGCCUUAUAUUCAAAUGUGAUUUGAAUUUUGGAAAAAUGAAUGCGGAUUCAUGCUCGGGAGGUUGGAAUUAGUCAAGACGGACAAAAUGGUAAAAAGUCAAAAUAUUGACUUUUGACUUAGAAAAGUCAAAGUUUGACUUUUGACUAGAAAAAUCUAAUGACCAUUUUACCCUUGGACUAAGUUAGUGGGAAAAUCCAACAUUUUGUUGGAUAAUCCCACUAACUCUUAGUGGGAUAUGUGGCUAUAUGAGAUAUAGACACCUAGCCCACUAAGUUCCACUAAUUGUUAGUGGAAUAUUAGGUGUUGAGAUUUGGCAAUUGAAUUGCAUGCAUUUUUGCAUGUAAUUAGGCUAUAAAUAGAGAUGUUUUCAAAUGUUGAAGGACUUUUGCCUCUUUUAUCAUUUUCAUAAUCUCAACAAAAGAAAAAAAAACUUCCAAUCUCAUUUUAUCUCCAUUACUUUCUACACCAAAAUUGGGUCCCACAACCCGGUUCUUUGUCUAGAGGAUAGCAGUUGAGUACUAGUGGUGGUCUCGGGUAGAAUUGGUAAGAAGACAUCAAACCUUUUGAAAGCUUCAAAGGUAAUACUUCUUAAAACCCUAAUUUGAUUAGUUUAUGGUUACAUGUUAAUUGUGGCAAUUAGGGUAGAAAUUCGAUUCUUUUUCCGCUGUGCAUGACUUAGUUCUAUCAUGUGGUAUCAGAGCAUGCUUCAUUUUUACCCAAUUGCAUGUGGUGGGUUCAUAUUUAUUAGAUAAAUUUUGGUUUGAACUAAAAUGGAUAUAUUAUGAUUUUGGCUCUAGAUUAAGUGUUUUUGUUCUAAUUAUUGUAAUUAGCCUUGUUAAUGGCUUAUUUUUAUUGUUGCAAAGUGUUUGUAAUUUUUAAAAAAAAUAAAAAAGUCAUUAGAGUUGAAGCUAGGCUGUAAUUGGUUCAACCGGGUGAGAGAAUUGAAAAAAAUGAAGAAAAGAAGGUCACAGACCCGAAAACCCGGUUUUGACCCGCUUCGCGACCCGCACGCGCCCGCAUGCCCGCGCGCCCUCCUGCGCCCGCGCGCCCUCCUGCGCCCGCGCGCCCUCUGCGCCGCGCGCGCCCUGUGCCGCGCGCGCCGCAUGCCCCCGCCGCUUGCGCCGCGCGCCUGCCUUCGCACGNNNNNNNNNNNNNNNNNNNNNNNNNNNNNNNNNNNNNNNNNNNNNNNNNNNNNNNNNNNNNNNNNNNNNNNNNNNNNNNNNNNNNNNNNNNNNNNNNNNNNNNNNNNNNNNNNNNNNNNNNNNNNNNNNNNNNNNNNNNNNNNNNNNNNNNNNNNNNNNNNNNNNNNNNNNNNNNNNNNNNNNNNNNNNNNNNNNNNNNNNNNNNNNNNNNNNNNNNNNNNNNNNNNNNNNNNNNNNNNNNNNNNNNNNNNNNNNNNNNNNNNNNNNNNNNNNNNNNNNNNNNNNNNNNNNNNNNNNNNNNNNNNNNNNNNNNNNNNNNNNNNNNNNNNNNNNNNNNNNNNNNNNNNNNNNNNNNNNNNNNNNNNNNNNNNNNNNNNNNNNNNNNNNNNNNNNNNNNNNNNNNNNNNNNNNNNNNNNNNNNNNNNNNNNNNNNNNNNNNNNNNNNNNNNNNNNNNNNNNNNNNNNNNNNNNNNNNNNNNNNNNNNNNNNNNNNNNNNNNNUCACGGAUGUAUGCGUCGACGGCUUUACGCAGGUGAAGACAGACGCGGUCGGAGAGUCGCGCGGCAGUGUAGAAAACGGAGAAAAGGAACGGGCGGCGGGUGGGCUUUGCUUCGACGGAGACAGAGAUUGCGCAACAGGUCUUCACGAACGGAGAGGAAAGGAAUGGGCACGGCGACGCAGAUCUGGACGAUUGCUGCAAGGUGACGCGUACGGCUUGCUUAACGAACCGAUCGACGAUUGCAGCGACGGAUCUGGGUUACGGCGAACUGCAAGGGUGAAGCACAUGCGGCGGCGAGGACCUAGACGGCUCGGCGAUGCAGAUCUGGACGACGAUUUGCUUUCCGAGGGAGGCACGACGGUUGUGAGCGAAGAGGCACGACGGUUGUGAGCGAAUGGGCGCGGCGGUUUCGAUCCGAAGGAGAAAAGGAAGACGACCGGAAAGAAGAAGAAGAAACGACCGGCAGCUUGUGUGGCUGACUGGGUGAACGGAGAAGAGAGGGAUGUGCGGCUGCUAGGGUACGAGAAGGAGAAAGGGAUGGAGGACGCACGGGAGGAAGAAGGAAGGAAAAUUUUCUUUUUUCUUUUCUUUUAUUUAAAUAAUAAAAAUAAAAAUAAAACUAAAAUAUAAAUAAAUAUAUAUAUAAUAAAAUUUCUUUUUCUUUUCUUUUAUUUAAACUAAAUAAUAAAACUAAAAAUAUAAAUAAAUAUAUAUAUAAUUAUAUUAUCACAUUUUCAAAUCUUCUUUCCGCCCUUCAACAUAUUUUCUUCAAAACAAUAAAUCUUGUACAAAUCGAAAAAAUCUCUUAAAAUAAAAUACCUUCGAGUUUGGGGCGUUACACCAACUCACACAUCAAGAGGUAAAAUGUCACAAAUGCCCUCGUUAUUGAUGUACAUUUGAUACACAUUAUACACGUCUGAUACACCUAAUACCUCUUGAUACAUUAAGUCCAUUUAUGAGUUAGUUUGAUUAGAUUAUGUCACAUAUACAUGUAUUACAAUUAAGGGACACUUGCGAAAAUGGCAAAAUAAGUUAUAAUAAUUAAGUCCAUAGAACACAUACUUUAUUAUUUGAGAAAAUGACAAAAACAAAGACCAACUCACACAUCAAGAGGUAAAAUGUCACAAAUGCCCUCGUUAUUGAUGUACAUUUGAUACACCUUAUACACGUCUGAUACACCUAAUACCCCUUGAUACACUUGAUACUUCUUACUGAUACACUUGAUACAUUUGAUAGAUACAAUUCAUGCACUCGGUACUCAUUGAUACACUCGAUACUUUUUGAUACACACUUGAAACAUCUUCAUACACAUAAUACUUCUCGUUCCACAUAAUAAUACUUCUCGUUACACUUGAUUCUUCUGAUACACUUGACCCUGAGACCUUAUAUUAAUACACUGAUACACCACUAAUAAACUUGUUAUACUUCAUUGGUACACUUAACAAAUUCGAUAUGUUUGAGUACAUGCACUACAAGAAAUUUACCGCUUUGUCGAUGACAAAUAUCGUCAGUAAAUCUUCAAAAACUAAUCAACUUUUCUUUUGCCAACGAAAUUAAGCUGUCAACACACACCGUUAGGUAGGUCUGUCGGAAGAUCCUAUAUCGAUGGCAAAAAAUAAACUGUCAGCAAAAAUAGGAACUAUCGAUGAAAUUGAACCAUCAGUGGGCGUGUGUGUGCGCUCGUGUGUGCGCAUGUCCACGUGUGCUUGGGUGUGUGUAUGCGCACAUACAUGUGUACGUGAGUAGGUGUGUGCGUGUUUGCGUGUGCAUUUGUGUGCGCGUGUGCAUGUGUGUGUUGUGUGUGUGUGCCUAUGUUCGUGUGUGUGUGCGUGUAUGGGUGCACGCGCGUGCAAGUGUAUGUAUGUGUGUGCGCGUGUGAUUGUGUGUGAAUAAGUUGAUAUUUUUUAAUGUUGAGUUUCUCCCAAUUUUAAAACAAUAAUUUAAUUAUCUUGAUAUUCAAGCCAUUAAUAUUAUUGUGAGAUAAAGAUAGUGAAUAAGUUGAUAUUUUUUAAUUUGAAAUUCAGUUAAAGUUAUUUUGAUACAAAAUCUAUUGCUGAGAUUAUCAUAUUCUGAAAAUAAUAAUUUGUUAUUUUGUUCAUUUUGGAAAUUCAAAUUUUAGGUUAUUUUGAAAUUCAAAUUCAAUUAGGUUAUUUUGAAAUUAGUAAGAUUAAAUAAAGUUGAAGUCUUGAAUCCAUUAGUUGAGUCCCGAGAUAUUAAGAAAAAAGUAUGAUAUGAGUUUAUGUAUCUUUUUCAGGUAAAAAAUAAUUAAAAGCUGAUAAAUGCAUAAUAUAAAUUAAUUACAAUAUAGAAACAAGAUAAUUUUAGUUGGAGAAUGUGAAUAUUUUGGUAUUUUAUAAAAUAUUAUGCACGUGCAAAAAAUGUUAUUUGCUAAAAUUAACAAAAAAAUAGUUUUGCCAUUUUUCAAAAUGACCCAUAAAAAUGUUGCUAUAUCUCUUAUGACAGAGUGUAUAUCUACUGGUUCAUAUUCGACAUGUUUGUUGCUAAUAGAAUUGGAUAAAAUCGCAUUAUAUUGAAAUAAUUACACGAAUGACACUUUUAAGCCAAUAUUGGUAGAAAUUAUAGUUUAAUUAAUGUUAUUAAGUCAAUGAACAUGGUUUAAAAGUCCUUCUAAACACAAUUAAUGUAGUUGUUUUUUAAUUUUAACUCAUUUAUACAUCUUUAUGCAUAUGUGCGUGUACGUGCGCGUGUAGGUAGGUGUGCGUAUGUGUAUGUGCGUGUGUUCGUGCGAGUGUCCGUGUGCAUGUGUGUGUGGGUGUGUGCAUGUUUGUAUGUGUUUGUGCGUGCGGUGUGUGCACGGGCUAUUGCGUGUGUGCUUGGGUGUGUGGGUGUGCUCGCGCGUGCGUGUUUGUGCGCGUGUGCGUAUGUGUUUACGUGUGUGCGUUUGUGCGUACGCGUGUGUGCGUUUGUGCAUGUGUGUGUGCUUGUGCAUGUGUGGAUAGAUGUGUGUGUGUGCAUGCGUCGCGUGUGCAUGUGUGUGUGCGUGCGUUCGUGCGUCUGUGGGUGUCUAUGUGUAGGUGUGCGUGUGCACGCGUGUGUGUAAGUGUGCAUGUGUACGUGUGUGCGCAGUGCUUCUAUGCUUGUGUGCGAACAAGUUAAUAUUUUUUAAUGUUGAGUUUCUUCCAAUUUUAAAAUAAUAAUUUAAUUAUCAUGAUAUUCAAGGCAUUAAUGUUAUUUUGAGAUAAAGAUAGUGAACAGGUUGAUAUUUUUUAAUUUUGAAAUUCAAUUAAGGUUAUUUUAAUACAAAAUCUAUCGUUGAGACUCUCAAAUUUCGAAAAUAAUAAUUUUGUUAUUUUGAAAUUCAAUUUUGUUAUUUGAAAUUCAAUUUUGUUAUUUUGAAAUUCAAAUUCAAUUAGGUUAUUUUGAAAUUAGUAUGAUUGAAUAAAGUUAUUAAUAUGUUGAAUUAAUUAGUUGAGUCUCGAGAUAUUAAGAAAAAUAUUAUGAUAUGAGUUAAUAUAUCUAUUUCAAGUAAAAGAUAAUUAAAAGCUGAUAAAUGCAUAACAUAAAUUAAUUACAAUGUAGAAACGAAAUAAUUACAGUUGAAGAAUGUUGAUAUUUUGGUAUUUUAUAAAAUACCAUGCACGUGCAAAAAAUGCUAGUUGCUAAAAUUCAAAGGAAAAAGUAGUUUUGUCAUUUUUCAAAAUGACCCCUAAAAACGUUGUUUAUGUCUCUUAUGACAAAGAGUGUAGAUCUACUGAUCCAUAUUCGAUUUGUUUUUUGUUGGUAAAAUUGGAUAAGACCGCAUUAUAUUGAAAUAAUUACACGAAUGACAGUUUUAAGCCAAUAUUGAUAGAAAUUAUAAUUAAUCAAUGUUAUUAAGUCAAAUGAACAUGGUUUAAAACUCUUUCUAAACAUAAUUAAUGUAUUUGUUUUUAACUUUAAUUAAUUUACACAUCCUUGUGCGUGUGUGCAUAUGUGCGCGUGCGUGUGCGUGUGUGGAUGGGUGUGUGUGCGUGUGUGUGCGUGUGUUGUGCACGUGUGCGCGUGUGCGUGUGCGAACAAAUUGAUAUUUGUUAAUGUAAAAUUUCUCCCAAUUUUAAAAUAAUAAUUCAAUUAUCUUGAUAUUCAAGUCAUUAAUGUUAUUUUGAGAUAAAAAUAGUGUACAAGUUGAUAUUUUUUAAUUUUGAAAUUCAAUUAAAGUUAUUUUGAUACAAAAUCUAUCGUUGAGAUUCUCAAAUUUCGAAAAAUAAUAAUUUUGUUAUUUUGAAAUUGAAAUUUAAUUAGGUUAUUUUGAAAUUAGUAAGAUUGAAUAAAAUUAAAAUCUUGAAUCAAUUAGUUGAGUCCGAGAUAUUAAGAAAAAAGGAUGUAUCUUUUUCAGGUAAAAAAUAAUUAAAAGCUAAUAAAUGCAUAACAUAAAUUAAUUACAACGUAGAAACGAAAUAAUUACUGUUUGAGAAGGUGAAUAUUUUGGUAUUUUAUAAAAUAUCAUGCACACGUGCAAAAAAUUCUAUUUGCUAAAAUUUAAAAGAAAAAGUAGUUUUGCCAUUUUUCAAAAUGACCCAUAAAAACGUUGCUAUAUCUCUUAUGACAAAGAGUGUGCAUCUACAUAUUCGACUUGUUUUUUGUUCGUAAAAUUGGAGAAAUUGAGGACACAACUCCAAUUCCUAGCAUGCUUUCUCCCUAAGACUAUGCUGGUCCUAGUCGGGAGUGGCAUUUACAUCCCAGAAAGACACACAUGUAUCACCUCGUGUUGGCACUUCCAUUGCAAUGCACAACUCUGACAUAUAUAGUGCCGACAUUUCCUUCCUUAAGCUUGAAAAAAGGUGAUUUGAUGUCCAUAAAAAAUUAACUGAGCAGAGUUAGAUAUUUUCUAAUAUGUAUCUCACGUAAUUUGAUGCUCAUUGAUACUGCAGUACUGUGUCAGGAACGUGUUGAUGUAAAAUCUUUCAGUUUUGAUGGAUCUUAUUACAAGCUUUCAACUCUUCUUAGCACGACUUCUGACAGAACAAAGGUUUGAUGUAUCUUUACACGAUCGCAUAUCACAUAUGAACGAUCGCAUAUCCCAUCUGAAAUAUCGAUCACCCUUGGUAAAACAACCGUUUAGAUAUUCUACACGAUUGUUUGCUUAAGGAUACACGAUCAUUUUGUAACUAUUUUUUUUAUUAUCCUUUUUUCUUUCUAUACUAGAACCAGAAUCAAUUGUUUGAUGAUAUUAACAACAUGUAUGAUGAUCUUCGUGAUGAUUCUAGUUAUCACAAUUCUUUAUUGAUUCACGUGCAACCCCAUCUCUUUCUCCUUCACUCUUCCUCUUCCCCGUGCCCACCGCCGCCUGCGUCCCUUAGCCAUUUUAUAUUACUCUUGGACGUCAGCGGCCACGCCGUCACGAUCCCCUUCGUCUCCGUUGAAGCCGAAGCACCGUUCGUCGUGAGUUCGAACUCUCGGCAUCGCGUCUCACCUCUGUUUUCCAGCCAAGUUGUGAUUCAUCGCGCGUAGCUCCUUCCACGUUCGCGCCACCACAUUCUGCUCCAGGUGACGGAGGAGCGUCACCGAUUGACCUAUCAUCUCACCGGCAUUGUUACUUAGUUGAAGCAGCCGCGACCAGACCUGAGCCCGUCACGUCUGUUGAAGUGCCGUCGCGCGGCUCUUCACCUUCCAGCCAUGGGUUGUAAGCUGAAGUUUGUUUUUCGUUUGUUGAUUAGAUCUGAUCUAUUACACGCGUCGAUUCCAGUUAUUCGAAGUUGUUGCCCCCAUUUUACUCUAAUUUUUGGGAUUUUUGUGGUAAGUUGUAUUGGUGAGUGUGGUGGUUUUACAUUGUAAUUAUCCUUGGGUUGUAGUUUUGGAUAAUUAGUUAAAUUGUUAAUUGAUUCUUGAAGUUAGCAUUUGAGUUCUUUGGAUUCACAACUAAAUUGUAGAUUUGUUGGAGUUCGAUUCGCCAAUACUUUGAUAAGCUAGAAUUUACAUUGAGGAAAUUAAAUGAAAGAAAGUAUUGUGAAAGUAAUUGAGUUCCAUAUUCUUAGUAUUAGGUUUCCUUCGUUCGAGAAAAUUUAAGUAACAUUAAAGUAAGGGGUUUCUAUUACUGGACUCUUUGAAAGUUUUGAAAUGUGUUGACUGUUUGGAUCUCUGGACUUAGUAUGGUUUACCAAAUAUGUAGAAGUAGAUAUGAUGACAAAUGUAUAUUAUGCCAGACUAGUAUAGAAGUAGAUACGAUGGAUAAUGUAUUUGUAAACUGAGAAAGGUGUUAUGUAUAUAUAUAUAUCUUGACUGUCUGGUGUGUUGUUAUGGUAUCAACUGAUUUUGUAAUAGAUUGAAUAGAUUGAACGUAAGUGUGUUAAGUUGGAUUGAUGAUAUGAUUGUAACGACCCAACUUUUCUAAGUAAGUCGAGGUCGUUAAUUUUUUUACAAAUAAAAGACUUUGAUUAAUAUAAAACAAAACGUAAGCUAAUUUAAAAACAUCUUUAAGUCAGGCCUGAAUUUCAAACAUUUAAGAAAACAUAAAAACAAUACUAUUUACAAUAAACGUUUGUAAGCAAACUUUCAAUUCAUCUUAAACCUCACAAGAACCCAUAAGCGGAAGCAAACAACAUAUUUCCUAUGGCAGUCACGCUUCCUUCCUGCCCUCGCUGGUUUGCCGCUUUUAUUACCUUUGCCUGAAAAUUAAACAUAAGAAGGGUGAGUAUUUAAAUACUCAGUAAGAGACCCUCUACUGGUCCCGUCAGGGGAAAAUAAAUUGUUAACGUUCUAUUGGGACACCCUGUACAGUCGCAGUCUUGUGAUCCCGUAGGAUACACAUCUCAGUCUAACGCCCGAGGGACGUACAUAUCAGUCUAGUGUUCUGCAAAAACAUAUAUCAGUCUAAUGCUCCGAAGGUGCACAAUAAAUUGGUGAUCCCGUGGGACACCUACAAGGUACACAUCCCAAUACAAUCUAACAAUUUUCCCCUCAUUCCAUUCAAUCCAUCUUUCAAUUACUUCAAAACACAAAGUUCUUUCUUUCAACGUCCUAACAGUCAACUUAUUUUACUUCAGUCAUAUGUCUGUCAAUAAUAUGCUAAUACAUCAGUCAAUCAAACUAUACAGUCAACACACCCUCAGUUCAUCAGCACACAGUCAUACUUUAACGUAACGUACACCCAAUCUAAACGAAAAUCACAAGUUCACAUCUGCAUCUCAUACAAACACAAUCUACAAUCUUCGUCCUGUCCACAUACACACACUUAUAUAUAUAUUCCAUGACAAUCAAAAUAUACAUUCGACGUCAAGUCUACUUCAAUUCAUAUGCAUUCAUAUAUAUUUUUAGUCAAUCCACAGUAUACAUUUAACACAUACAAUUCACAGUCAUAAGUGAGUCGAGUAGAAAAUCCCUUACCUCAAAGUUAGGGAAGCUCCUUAAUCAACUAACGUCCUCGAAACAAUCCUAAGCAUAACAAUACAAAAUUCAAUUACUUUCACAAUACAUAUGUCACUUACUUUCCUCAACGUAAGUUCCAACUCACCGAUAUAUUGGUGAACUGAACCUUCAACAAUUCACAAACGGGUUGUGAAUGUAAGGGAGCCUAACGUUACUCCCAACACCUCAACGCACGAAUGUCGAACUCGCAGCAAAAAUCCUAAGUGUGGGUUGGUCAGCGGUCGGCCAAAGGGAACGUGGCGGCUGGGCUUCACGGAUGGAGACGUCGCGAACAGACCGCGAAUCUGAAUGGUUACAGCAGACUGUUUUGGGUUUCAUGAUUGAACGACUUUUAUGUUCUUGAACUUUCUUUAUUUUAUUUGAAAUAGAGCCCGAAUAAAAACUCUUUAAUGUUUUAAAAGAUAUAUUUUUUUAAAUUAUAAAAGUCUAUGGUUAAAGACGAAUCUAGUCUUAAAGUAAUAACUUCAGCUUAAUUCGAAAAAUUAGGUUUACUCUAUUUUGCAGAAAAGAAAAUCAUCGAUUUUAUUUUGGUUAAGAAAAGCUGUUUUUCUUCUACAUAUUUAUAACUCUCUUUCUUUCAUUGAGUAGAGACGGGUAGGAGAAAACCAUAGGAUUUAUUAACUUAAAAAAUAUUAAAUUAAUAGAAGUUUCAAAUCAACUAACUAAUUAACCAUUAAUCAAUUAGUUAAUAAUUAAUUAAAUCAUAUUUAAUUAAUAUUUCAUUUAAAUCUUAUUGAAUGAAUAUCUCUCCAAUACCUUAUAGUUUUAUAUUAAUUUAAUUAAAUCAAAUUUAAUUAAAUAAUAUUAAACUAUAUUAAUUAAUUAUUAUAAUAACUAAAUUAAAUAUUUUAUAUUUAACUUAAGUUAAAUUUGAAUCAUAUUCAAUAUAACUUUAUCUCAUAAUAAUAUUAAUAUAAUAUUAAUAUAUUAAUAUAAUUUAUACAUAUAAAACUUUAUAUUAAUAUAUAAUAGUUUCAUUAACAUAUAAAUUAUAUUAUAAUGUAUCAUGUAUAUUAUACUAAUUAUACUAAUUUCCAAAAUAAAUUUGAAUAUUUCAAAUUAGAACCAAUAUAAAUAAAUCACAUUAUCAUUUUGUAUCAUCCAUUACUUUGUAUUUAGUCAUACUAAUUGGAUCAACCUAAUACAUAAAACAAAUAUAGAAAAAUUAAAAAAAAAAAAGCAUGCACAAAUAGAGACAAAUAGACAUUGAUAGCUAUCUAUCUCUAUCUAUCUGAAACAAGCACACAUAAAUUGUUAUAUUUCUCUAUCGAUAGACAAAAAUAGCAGUCUAUUUAUAUCUACCUGAGAUACAAACAUUAAAAAAAAAAACCUUACCAAUAAAAUUCUUGACUUUAUUCUAAAUGCAACACGUUCUCAGCCCAAGAAGUCAAACAACUCUUCAUUGUAAAAGUAGCUUUACUUCUUUCAUCAAACCACUUUUGCAAUACAUCUCUAAUUGAACUAAGCAUGGUAGCUACAGGUAGUUCUCUAAGAUCUUUAAAAACUAAAUUUACACUGUCUACACAAUUUGAUGUCAUCAUUCUAUAUAUGAAACUCAUUAUACCUGAGAUAGAUUCAACCAAUUUAUCAAAGAACCUUGGAAUCAACAUGUAUGAUUUAACUGUGUCACCUUUUAAUAUCUUUACUAUGUGUUCUUUUGCCCUCCAAGCUUUCUGCUAACUUAUAUUAACUCCAAGAUUUGUACAUGCCUUAUGCACAAUUGCUUUCGGAAUGAAACGAUCAGUAGACAUGAACCUGAACUCAUCUAUCAAGCAACUGUCAAUUACUGUUGAAGAAGCUUGCAUAUGACAACUAGUAUUCAAUGAACGGUCAUGUUCAUAAUUCUACUUAUCCAUCCAAUUGAAUCUGUUCACAUAUUAAAUCAACUAGAGAAUUAAAGCUGACUCGGACAUCUACCAAAAUUUCAGCAACUAAGUAAUUCUCAUAAAUAUUACAUCCAUUCCAUUGACCUCCAUAAAAAACAACAAUAGGAAAAGACAUUAUAAUCUGUAAAAAAAAAAAAAAAUUAAGUAUUUAAUUGGGAUAGAAAGAAAUAGAUAGACAUAGAUAUACAUUUAUUACUGAAUAAAAGAAUAAAAUGUACAAAAUGAUAAUACUAAACACAAUGCAAGAAUAAGUAAACGAUCGUGCAAUGAAAUAAUAUACAUUAAACGAUCCUAUUAACCGUGAUAAACGACCAUUUAACAACGGUAAAUGAUAAUAUUGAUUAAAAUAAAUUAUCGUGUUGACAUGGGUACACGAUCAUAUGAUAUUGGUGAUCGUAUUGAAUAGUGUAAACAAUCGUCUUGUUAUCGGUACACGAUCGUGUUAAUAUUUGUAAGUGAUUCUAUUGAUAGUGGUAACUGAUCGUGUAAUUCCAUGUAAAUUAUCGUAAAAAACUUUAAACUAUCGAUCUUUAUAAUGAAGUACAUAAUUCUUACAUUAAUACUUAAAAUUUGUUGUAACGAUCCAACUUUUCUAACUAAGUUGAAGUCAUUAAUUUGGACAAAGAGACCUUGAUUGACACAAAUUAUAGUAAAAUUCACUUGAAAUCAUACGAUCAAAGAAAACAAACUUAAGUUCGGGCCCUAUUUCAAAUAACCAAAACUUUAAAAGUACUAUUUACAAAACAACAGUUCGUAAACUCAGUUCCAUCACAAAAUUUUUAAACAACCUCAUGUACAAAGGAAAAACAAGAAACAUAAAGCGAAAGCAUUUGAAGAACAUUCCCUUAUGGCAAUCACGUCUCCUUCUUGUCCCUCGUCGGUCUACCUCCUUUGUUACCUUUGCCUGAAAUAGUUAAACAUGAAAGGAUGAGUAUAAACAUACCCAAUAAGAGACCCGCUAUUGGUCCCAUUAGGGGAAAAAGAAACUGUUAACUUCCUAUUGGGGUACCCUGCACAGUCACAGUCUUGUGAUCCCGUAGGAUACACAUAAUCAGUCUAACACCUCAAAGGACGCAUAAAUCAGUCUACUGUUCUGCAGAAACACAUAUCAGUCUAAUGCUCUCGAAGGAUGCACAUAUCAGUCUAGUGCUAUCGAAGGAUGCACAUAUCAGGUGGUGAUCCCGUAGGACACCCGCAAGGUAACUACCCAAUAGAAAUCUAACAAUUUUCCCCUCAAUCCAUUCUAAACAUCUUAACACUCAUUCAUAGUACAGUCCAGCUACUUCAACAUAUAAUCCUUUCACUUAACACCCUAAUAGUCAACCUAUCUCACUUGAGCCCAAUGUCCGCCAGUAACAUAUCAAUACAUCAGUCAAUCAAACUAUAUAGUUAUAACACCCCUCAAUUCACCAGUACACAGCCCUACUUUAGUAUAACCUACACCCAAUCUAAACGACAAUCACAAGUUCACAUCCACAUUCCAUACAAACACAAUCUACAAUUGUCGUCCUGUCUACAUCCAUACAUAUAUAUAUUCCCAGACAAUCACAAUAUGCAUUCAACAUCAAGUCUACAUCAAUCCAUGUAUAUAUAUAUUUUUUUUCAGUCAUUCACAGUAUACAUUCAACACCAAGUCUACAUCCAUAUGUAUAUAUAUCGUUUUGACAUCUUUACUCAAUCAGAGGUAACUAUACAGACAGCACAAUUCAAAACUAUAGGUGAGUCCAGUAGUAGAGAAUCCCUUACCUUAUAACCUUACUUAAGCUUCUUUUUCAAACUAAAGUGCAACGAACCGACCUAAACAUAAUUGAAGAGAAAUCAAUCACUUCCACAAACAAUUUAAUCCAUUCAAUUCACUCUAUAUGUAAAUUCCAUAACUUACCCAAAUUGUGGAGAAUCAAAUUCUAACGGAGACGGAUCGGUGCACAAAUAACGAACAAUUCAGAUCUAAACAUACAUGGCGUGACAGAACUGGAGUGACUCGGGCUAACGGUUAUGCGACGAUAGGAAAAAAUUUGCUUGACGUUCGGUGUAGGUGGAAGACGGUGGUGAAGUUGAUUGGAGAAGGAAAAGAGAAGGAAGAAAAGAGAGAUUAUGCAUACACUGUGAGAAGCACACAAAAAAAUUGAAAAUAAAUUGAAAAGAAGAGAGAGAUAAGUCUGAGGGAGAAAUAUUCAUUUCCUUUUCAAAGUGAAUUGCAAAGAAAUUUUCUCAAAUUGAAAAGAAAGGAGAAAUAUACAAAGUCAGCCACCGCUUCUUCUCCCUUCAGUUUGCAGUUUUCGUCUCCCUCUCUUCUAUUAUUAAAAUAAAUAAAUAAAAUAUCACAACCCGACUUAACACAAACUAUUUACUCCAACUUUUUAAACUACAAAUUUAAUUUCUCAACUUUUAAACUAUUUUAAACUUACAAAUCUACUUUAUUCAUUUCUUCAGAUUUAUAUCUAACAAAUAAAAAAAAAUCAAAAUUUAUAGACACUUAAAACAUAAAAUUGAAAGACCUAUUAAACAAUUGAAAGGUUUAAGAGGUAACUAGACAAACUUUAAAAGUUCUAAGGGAAAGAAUCUUUUGUUUAACUAUUACAGUAAUUAAUUUUGAAAAUAUGUUAUUUUAAAAAAACUACAAGUGUUUGACAACUCUUUGAAAGCUAUUGAAAUACUCUCAAAUUGUAUUUUAAGCAAUUUUAAUAAAAAGAAAGUCUACAUAAAAAAAUUACCCUUUUUAAAGGAACAUUUUUUCUCUAAUCACUCCAAUGGAACUCAAACACGUACUUCAAGUUAAUUCUGGUAUCCAAGAAUCAGUCUCAUCCAACAUAAACAAGAACAUUCAACUUGAUAGAACUUCAUUACCUCAUUUUUACAAUUCCCAAAGUUACUAAAUGAAGGACCAUUCCUAAAACAUACUUACAUCCAACUUUCUCCAUGAAUAAACUUAUCGUCUUUUAUGUACUGAUGAAUAUAGAGAUGGAGCGAUCAGAGUUUGUUUAUGUACCAAAUUAGAGUGAGUUGAGAAAAGAGUGGAUUUACACAAGGACGAAAUGGCUGGCUGCUGCUUGUUCAAAACUGAAAGUUAGGGUGACCUUGUUUCUCAUAGGGACUCAGCAAAUUGAGGGGCCUCCAGGUCAACUUCUGGUCUCAUUAUACAUGCCAUUAGCCAUUCAACGUUGAAAGUCCAUAUCCCUUUUUGUACGGCCACCAAGGCUUCCUCCACGUCUUCCUCACAAGCCACAAAGAUCGUCUUCCAUACGUUGUUUACUUUAUCUAGCUCAUGAAUCACCUAAAUUUUCAAGCAUAAUGAAUUUGCCAAAUGAGAGAAAAAAUUAUGUAUAUACUACAAGGAAAUUGCAAGAAUUCACCCUAUCAAAAAAUAUUAAACAAAUUCUUGUUCUAGUCCCUAAAAUUUUCCAUCUUUUCCCAACUUUCAAAAUGAUUCCUAUGAGAUAUAUUCCAAUCACAUAUAGCAGAAAUGACCGAUGAGUAUUGGAUAAAUGAAUAUUAGUUGAUAAAAUAAUUUACAAAAUACUAAAAUCGUUAGUUGGCUACGUUUUGGAAGCUCGAUGAUUAAAAUGGAUGUUUUGAAAGUUCUAAGGCUAAAAUGGAAUUUAAAUCAACAUAAUAGUAAGUUCAAGAUCAAAGACAAGCUAAACAAUAAAAUGUUGCAAGCAGAAAACAAUCUAAUCAUAAUUAGAAACAUGAAUGUAUGUAUUUGUAAACCAAAUCACAAAAAAUAACUCCAAAUUUCGAUCUAGAGACAAUUAAAAACUUGAACAAAUUUGAUAAUUAAAGAAACACGGAGAUGGCCAUAUGACCCCUUGUGCAUAGACUUUUUACAUUACAUGCUCAAUUCCUAGGAUCAAAACAAACAUAAAUAUUAAAGACUUAAGAAGCACAUACACUCUAGUUUGGCUAGUGUAUCAAUAAACAAUAUGUAUGGAACACUCGGAGAACACGUGUUGAACACUAGUUAGUACAGUAGAUGUGUUAGACAACAAGUAUUCCAAUGCAAUAAAGGUCAAGAUUGGUCACACACACAUAUUAAACUCUUGGCUUUGAAUAAGUUUUGAGUGAAGGACAAGCUUAUUUUUAAGCAUAUAAAUACAUAAACUUAUUGACUUUGAAUUUCUAUAUAAAUAUGAUACAUACUUUUUAAAUUAUAUAUAUUAAAACUGUGUUCUAGCACUAUCCUAUAUUUUUUAGAAAAAAAUGACACGUCACCAUGUCUAUGAUUUAUUGACCCAUGUCUAGAAUUCGUAUACGUGCUUGUUUGUUGAGAACUUCACGUCUUCAUUAGAUGGGAGGAUAGCCAUAUUAUAGUGGUUGUAUAUGUAAUAUAGAGAACCAAACCUAGUACUCGAGAUUUGUACAAUAACAGAGAACUUACAUUUCCACCGGUUGACUUGACUAUCAGGGAUAGAGUUUUAGGUGGUGGUUGAGCGUGAGCUGAUAUGCAAACAUCAUACCCUUCAAAUAAAGCUCAAGAACAUGCUUUUGCCCUGAGAACUGCAGCUUUUAGGCUGGCUCGAUACUUCGAUAUGUAGUCAUCAUCAUUUAGUAUGUAAGGCAACUCGUCUGCAGAUCAAUAAGGAAUUAAUCAAUCACAAAAAUUAGGUAGGAUGAAAAACAUAAGUGGAAGAAAAUACAUUACGCUUUGAUACUAGCAAGCCAUUCGAACUUACCAACAAAUCUGCCUUCCCGUUAGGUUUCCUUUAACCAACUGGAGGAGAAAAUCCAAGCUCUGAGUAAUUUGCAAUUAAUUUUAGUAACAAUAUAGUGAGCAAGAGCACACUGACACACUUGAAGCCACAUGGUAAUGCAUAUGCUCGAUAAUCAUUGAGAACAUUAACAGGAGAAAAUAAAGUUAAGAACAGUAGCUUGAAGAACAAAAAACAUUCUACAACAUAAAAUCUUCAAAAACACAUUGCUUAAAAUCAAGUUUACUAAUAUAAAAGGUAAGAUAUUACGUUCCACUCUCCACACUACUGAAGUUCAACAUUUCACAUGAAAGAAAUGAAAUACUACUCUCAAAUAUAACUGAAAAAAGCAUAAAUGGGUAAAGAAAAAGCAUAGAGAAAUGCAAAAGAAUCCUUGGCUUUGAUAUAUUGAAAGGUAAAGAAUAUCAACCAUAGAUGCCCGGGAGAAGAACUCCUACAAAUACACACUUAACGCAGAUUAUCAUUCGCUAACAUGAGACCUUCUAGAGGAAUUCUGUUAGGAUACUUCCAAACAAGAACAAGAUCUUAAUUUAUUAUAAUGAACUAUAAGAAAAUACAAGAUAAAACCAAGUAUAAGGCACUUGGAACCUCCCUCUUGAGUACUCUCACCCAAGCCCUAGAUCACUCCCCAGAAUUCUCCCCUCACUUACCCUCCCUCCAUUUAUAAUAAGAUGUAACCACACUUACAUAAUAACUACUAGUAACUUUCUAAAUAUCUAAUUACCCCUUACUCCACAACCCUAACUAUAAUAAUCUAAGUAUCUAACAUUACCCGAUCCUUCAAAACACUUGUCCUCAAGGUGUGCUUACAAACAUGAUCAAGGCCCUUUCUCUUUUUUUCUCUUUUUAAUUGCAAACAAUCCCCAGCAUUCUGCUCUUCAAUGUUGAAAAAGAAAUCCUCCCCUUCGGCUUUGAAAAACUCUUGAUUCCAAUAAGGUCCAUUGACUUCAGCCCACAAAGCAGCCCAAUGUACUUGAAUUUUCCUUUUCCAAAACACAUUGUCUUAGUUAACCCUUUGCAUAUCACCAACAAGUGUUUAAUUUUCAAACUCUUCAUCUCUAGUGGGCUCGGCCAUAAUCAAAGUGUUGCGUCAAGACCAAAAUCAUAUUGCCGCCGGUUUCAUUCCUAGGACCCACCUACAUACACGUUUUUCUUCCCUCCUAUUUUUGGAACUCUCCACCCACUUCAUCUACAAAAUGAUGUGCCCCCAAUGUUUUAUUUAGAAUAAGUUGAAGCUCAUUUAGAGUAAGUUGAAGCCCACUUGAAAUAGUAAAACCCAAGAUUGUUACUUUUGUCCUAAUCCUCUUUCCUACCAAUUUCUACCACGUCAUUGUCACCAUCAUGUGUGCAGCAACUUCUUCCUCGUCACGUGAUUCACCCCUAUUCCAGACCACCUUCUCGAGCCUCUGUAGACCGGUAACUGUCGGCUUCUUCUUUCUCCAUUGCAACCAGCCAUUUUGUGUUUCUUUGAGCAACAAAUUUUUCUCCACUCGCUCUUCAUUUCGAGCCUCACAGGUAAUCCUCGUCGACCUUCCUCUAUAGUUUCUUCUUGGUCACUCUUUGCCAUCCUCUUCACCUUCCUGUAUAACCGUUGCAAUCGCUUUUCCUCGAUUCUUCUAUGGAUUUAGCAACUUCUUGGAAUCCAUCGAUUUAUGGACCUGAAGAUUCCAAUCCGUUCUAAAUAAACACAAUCCAGAUCAGUGCCACUGAACACAGGCAUUUCAACCUUCUUGAAUUUGCUAUGAUCGUUCGAGUUUUCAUCCCUUUUAAAGUUGUUUGUUUUACCUUCUACCUUGAUUUCCUUCAAUGUCUUACCUCCACCUUCGAUGAUACUCUCAAUCGUUGGUCCUUUGCUCGACGAUCCUUCCAUUCUUCCGGAGAUUUUCGAAUUAUCCUUCUGCUAUUCCUUCGAUGCAUUUAGCAACCGUUCUUGUUUUUCCAACUAGAUGACCAGUCUUUCGAUGCUUUCUGGCAAGGAUAACAAGUUUUAUUCAAUUGCCAGCAACUUGUGUAACUCCACUUGUAUCCCCGAGAUUUCCUUAUCAGAGGUCUCCAACUUCUCUUCGAUCCGUUUUUGUGCUGCUCUAUCGUUCUCCCAAGUUAAAACACUCUGAUACCAAUUUGUUAAGAUACUGUAAAUAUACGGCAAGUGUAUCUUACUUUAUUGAAUUACCUCAACGAAUUACAGUAUAGAGAAUAAAAAAUCACUCACAUCUACUUCCUAAAGGCACACUCCAGUGAGGAUCACAACAAAGAACAAGAAAAACUAAGAACAAACCGCAACCAUGAAAAUGACCAAAACAAACAAUAAAAAGAACUUGACUUGGACCCUCUACUUCUCCCGAGCACGAAAGACGGCAGCCUCUACUUCUUUGGAAUAUUUUGUCCCCUUUCUCCCUCCUCUUUCCUCCCUUUUAUUUUGCUUUACUAACAAACUAAUGGGAAAGAUCUCCUCCGAUAUUUUCUCCUCCUAUAAUCUCUCCUAUAUUUCGUGUGGGUCAAUAUUACCCUUUUUAAUUCUUCUACUGUAUUUAAAUAAUAUUGGAGACAUAUACUUCCUAACAAGAACAAGAUCUGAAUUUAUUAUAAUGUAACUAUAAGAAAAUACAAGAUAAAACCAAGUAUAAAGCACUUGGAACCCUCCCUCUUGAGUACUCUCACCCAAGCCUUAUAUCACUCCCCAAAAUUCUCCCAACUUACCCUCCCUCCAUUUAUAAUAACAUGUAACCACCCUAGUUACCACACUUACAUAAUAACUACUAGUAACCACACUUACACAAUAACUACUAGUAACUUCCUAAAUAUCUAAUUACCCUUAUACCCCAACCCUAUACUAAUCUAGGUAUCUAACAAAUUCCAUAACAUAAUGUAUUAGGGGAAGAAGGAAAUCGAGGAUAAAAACACUAGCUAGCCAACAAAUAUCUUUCAUUAGUGAGCUUGAGCCAUUUUACACGUAAAAUGGGAAAAGUAAGCCUGAAACCCAAAUUAGCCUAAUGGUUGUCUUAACAACCACUACCCACCAUCACGAUAGAAACAACUGAGAAGGAAGAGCAUGAUACAAUCCAACUCAAACAUAAGAAUUGAUUUUGAUGUUUAAUUAAAAGUAAACAGGCAGUAGAAUAAGAAACUAUGCCCUUUUAGAUCUAGAAGGUUCACAACAAUUUCCAGCCUAAGCACAACUACGAGGCAAUGGAAGAAUAACGACAAAGGCCUGUGUGCAUGGAAUCGCUAACUUUUGUGCAAAUGAGAUGAUUAUCGGUAUUCAAAGGCCAAAAGGAUACAUAGAAAGUGUUCGUCUAAGGUUGCAAGACUAACCCUGAAAAGAGAGCAAUACAAAAAUUUAGAGUUUUCCGCAAAUUUCCUGUAAUGACAUGAGUGCUUGUACUCCCAUCAGCAGUGAGAGAACCACCAAGCUCCUCAAUCAUCUGAAUCAGAAAACAACUGCACAUUAGAGCAGUCACAAUUUGGAAUAAAUAGAACUUUUUAUUGUUAGAAUCUUAGAAUAUUUAUGAAAAGUUUAUGGGAAUAUUUUUCUUAAUUCCUAAAUAUUUUCCUUUUUUAUUCCUCUGUAUAUUCUAUUUAUUCUCCCUUGUACCUAUUGUAUUUUUCAUCAAAAAAUAAUAAGAAGAAAAAUAUAGUGGUUUUUCUCCUGGUACACAGGUUUCCACAUAAAGUUCUGUGUUUAUUUGUCUCCCUUUCAAUAUGGUAUCUGAGCAGGUGGUCCAAGAAGGUCUUGUGUUCAAGCCUCGCAUUGUCGUUUCCUCCCCAAUUAAAAUCCAUUUCCAGUUGUUGGGCCUUUCAUAUAUUUCAAGCCCACAAGUGAGGAGAGUGUUGGUGAUAUAUAAUUGAAUUUUCUUUCUUUUUUUAAAAAAGGAUACGAGUCUCACUAUUAUUAAUAUAAAGAAAGAGACAAAGCUCAAUGUACAUGAGGAUUAUACAAAGAGCAAAAGGGGAGAGGGAAGAUCAACAGGCGCAUCCGGGCAUCUCAAACUAGGUUGACACCCCCUUAGUGCCCUCAAAACAUCCAAAAAGCGACAACACAAGAUCAAAACAAAAAGCCACAAAAACAAAGACAAACAAAAUGAUAAAAAGAAUCUUUCCAAAGCAAAAUCAUAAUCCAAGGCAGCAUGCUGAGAACAAAGAAGAAUAAGCCUUGAUUGGUUGAGCAAAAACUGUUUGAAGCAGAGGGUUGAUCCGAAAGUUCUGAUCAUCACAAUAUCCUACGUCGAAGAUCUUCUUUUGCAUUACAUUUUCUAAAAUUUCCAAUCCACUCUGUUAAAGGCCUUUUCAAGGUCUAAUUUAAUGAUCCAUCUUUUCUUUUUUCGGAUACUAUAGACCUCCACAGUUUCUUUUGCUAUUAAAAUAGGAUCCAAUAUUUGGCACUCUUCCAGAAAGCCACAUUGUAAUGGAGAAGUAUGUUAGGAUUCUAACAAUAAAACACAAAAUAUCCUAACCAAAUGGCUAAACAGAGGCAGCACUCUGUAAUUCUUUAUUUAUGUAAAAGCCAAAACACAUUCAACUGUAGUAGAUAUGAAAAAUAAAGGAUGAACAACAUAGAAAACUUACCCAGCUCCUUUAUACGGGGCUGGAUACCCUCAGGCUACAACAACCUUUACUCUCCUUGAAAUAACCAAAAAAGACCUAGCCUCCCCUACCCCAACAUUACAUAUUUAUACCUCUCUCUCUCAUCCCUCCUGCGGGCCCCACCUGCACGAUCCUCUCCCAUUAUUCUCUCAUCAUUGGUUGCUAAGGAAUUUCCCUUUCUACCGUUCCUUUUAUAGGUAUAGAUAAUAGGAGGUCUUACAAAGUAAUACCUGGCCUGACUUUCUUUAAUCUUUCUGCGAGAACCUUUCCAAACAACUUAUAAAUUAAUGUUGAAACAACUUAUAAGCCACACUGUAAUGACAUUCCUUCUCUUGACCGAACUUCAAUAAUCGACAACUUAUAUUUAUCCACAUAAUCAGCAAAACUCUUAAUCUGCCACUAGCUUCAAACAAAGACCCACCAAUUCCUUUUAAACUCCAUAGUGCCUUUAUAAUACAACUGGCAAUCUCUUCUCUUUUGGUCCCGGAAUCAAUGCUCUAUCUGGAUUAGCUUUCUUCAAAAGAUUUUUAAUAGCCAAUUGUUUCGAAUGGCCCAUGAAUCCUCUAGUGUUCCAUGAUAUAAUCUCCAUCUUUGCUACCUCUGCCUUAUAUCAAUUCAAUUUCACAUGCUGCCAAGAAAGGAACCAACUCUUGAGGGGGAAGGAUACUUGCUGACCUGCACAAAAUUUCUUUUUAUGGGGAGGAAAACAAUUUAAUAAAAUCUGGACCAAGAGAGUCAAUGUCCUCUUGUUUCUCUGUCUCUGAUUGAAUUAUUUCUUCCUCAACUGGUUCAAAUUCUGCACUACGUAAACUGGUGACUGAUUCAACUUCCAUGAAUUCAUCUUCUAGGUUCUCAACUUUUUUGAGACAAGAAGUAUCUUGCACAAAAUUAAAGAAUGAACCAAAAAGUUUGGAGGAGGAUUGAGAAAAUUUAUUACUUAAGGAGGAAGGCAGUACUGACCUUUUGCCAACUGAAUUUGGAAUUUGUAUCUUCACACAACUUUCCUCUAAUAAAUCAGAAUUAGCCAAGCUCAUCCAAAUGUUGCGAAAAGAAGUUCUCCCUUUGGUAUAGGUCUUGAGGUGCUCAUAAAUUUUUUGGCAUGUAUUGGAAUAGCUUUCAUUGCAAGGAUAUUUUAGUCUUGGGAGAGGCUGGUAAUUUUGGUUGAGAACUGAAAACAGGAGAUGGCCAGCAAGUGAAGUUCCUUGAUGGAGGAGAGGACUCUGAUUCUUCCUCCAAUUCGUCAGAAUACCAAAAGCCAUUGGUAUUCUGAUUAAUAAAAUUCUUGGGGCCUACCAUCUGUGUGUCAGAUUUUAAAAUGUCUGCAGAUACAUUAAGUUUGAAAAAAUCUGGUUGGGGAGGGCUAGGUGAGCUAUUUUUUGAGAUAAUAAAAUAUCGGCUGGCUGCCUUUUCUACUUUCAAGGUCUGUUUUUCUCUCUUUUCUGUUGAAGUCUUUUCCCCAAAUUUGAAUUUUGCCUUCUGAAAAUUAUUUUUUCCGACGAGGAUUCAAGGUCUGAAACUCUUUCCGGUCGAACAAGGUUUUCUUCUUCAUCAUCCAACUUUUUAAGUGCUUCGAAAGGAUUUCUUGAGAUGGAUGGGGCAUUCUGUUUGAGAAAUUCAGGUAUCUGGGAGACCAUCACUUUGGAGCCCUUCAUCUAAAAUCACUGAAUUUAUUCUACAUAAAUCAAUAGGAUUGGAAAAAUCACUUUGAAAUAGAUCAGAUUGAUUAUUACAGGAGCUUCUAAGGGUUCAAAAUCCCCAAAAUUAAGGGAAAAUUUUCCUCAGUUCUCACUCUUUAAUUCUAUAGUUGCUGGUAAAAAUCCGCAAAGAUUUUUCCAAACUUUAAUUCUUGCUUCAGAGAACUUGAUCAGAUUGAGUGUUUCUAAGAUUAUACUUUCUAGUCCACCAAAGUAGCUUAAGCUUAAGGCUAUAAUUGAAUUUUCUUUCAACCACCAGCUUAAACUUUUUGGUGAAUCGUGGUUUAAUAUUUAUAUUAAUAUUUUAUAAAAAAGUAUACAGCUAAUGCCAUAUAAAAUAAAUAAAGAAAUACUAUAAAAUCUACAUCCAUAAAAUAUGCAUGUGAACACAUAUCAGAAGAUGGAUAUUCGUAAGUUAGAAAGACCGAUAACAAAAUGUCAUAAUUAAACAACAUCAUUAAUAUUAUGGGUAGUUUCAUGCUUCAUUUGUCUAUUCUAGGUAGGGAUAUUGAAUAACUCUUAAAAAUAAUAUAAAGAUUGAAUCCCUAAACUUCAUGUGCUUGCUAGUAUACAACCUAAAAGUUCAACAGUUAAAGAAACUGAUUAAUCAUUUUUGGCAGGAUGUCAGAUUCGCCUUUCGAAAUCCUACAUGAGUAGAGCCAGCCAAAUAAGCCAAGCCUCUUAAGGAAUAUGGAGAAGUUCAAUGACUGGGUAUGUAUAUGAUAAGCCUUAACCUCAAUUUUAUUUGUCAAUAAUGGAGGGAAGGAAUCAAAAGCUUCUCUAGCUCUCCCAAUUAUUCUAAGAAACCUAAUACAAGGUAUGUCAAAACAUACCCUCCCCAAACAAUCAUAAUAGCAUUUAUAUGAAAGCAUAAAAGACUCAUGGCCCCCUUAACUAGCAACAUUCAGACCAACAAAUACAGCUUCCCAUCCUCCUCUCCUGAAUCCUUUCUUGUGCCUACGGGUGUACACCUUCACUACCAUGGGCCUAUCAGUAUUUAGAGAUCGUAGAGGCUGUAUGAGCCAAGGAGCUGGAAGAGUAGGAUUAGGGAAGUGUGGAGUUUUCCGCUCUUUGUUUGGCCAAAAGUGUUUGUGGACUCCCGACAAGAAAAUUUCAAUUUUAUGCCUUAUUGACUUCGUAUGUCCUAGGCCCUAAGAGUUCAAAACUUUCUAGAUUUCACAACUUCUUGGACCACUCCUUGUGCCAAACACCCUUUAAAGAAUACUAAGCCAAGGAUAUAAAACUUCAAUACCAUCAAUAGAAAAUCUCAUAAAAGAAACAUGAAUGAUGAAUAUUUUAGAAGACUAUAAAUUGGUACCGUACCUUCAUGAGCUGAGUUUUCUUAGUUUCGUCUGCAAUGUUCAUCAGCAUAAUUUUAAAUGAUUUUCCUAAUGUGUUCUCUUCAGAAUUGAGGUCCUCUGAUGCCACAUUUACACUUCCAAAUUCUUGACAGAAUUUUGUGUACACUGAUUGGUUGGAUUUUUAGGAUAAAUACUUGAUAAAAUCUCAUGCUUUGAAUUGGCUAAAGAGCAUCCUGGAGAGCAGGUAUCGUAUACAUCACUUUUAGGAUCAAGAUUUUUGUUAGAGUGGGAAUGGAAAUGGUCCAGAUUGACUCCUUUUACUUUCUUUGACUUCAGGGAAGAAAGUGAUGCUUCCCAAACUCUCUUUGCGCUAUGUUUAGAGCAAGAACAAUGUGUCUCAUCCAAGUUACCAAGAGUAUUGGAUAAUUUUUCAAUACUAGUUGUCGUGUUGUUCUCUAUUUCUGCAAAAGAAACCAAACCGUUAUGAGAUAAUUAAGCAACAUAUGGAGAAUAAUUUAAAUUGUACUAUCUUGUGGAACAAAACCUGAAUUACACAUACCCUGAAUUUCAUUUUCUUCUCCAAGGGGCACUAAAGUUACAAACUCGUCAUGUUGAAAAUUCAAAUUUUGAAUGGUAUGCUGAUCAGUUGCAUUUGAAACGUUGCAACCUCGAUUGGCAACACUGAUUCUUGCAGCAUACGGGGCUUCAGCUUUAAUAGAGAAAGUAACUUUGGAAAGUUAGUCGAACACAUUGAAAUUCCCUGAAUGUGCGAAAUCCAUGGAUUUUAUUACACAUCCCAAAGGUGAACGACUUUGAGGCAUCUUGGUUAUAAUCAAUUGGUUCUCGAAGUACGCCACCUUCAUCCCCACUACAAAACUAUGUUCUGUCGAGCUGAUAGCACACUUGUUCUUUAAGAACGUCUUGAAGUUAUGGAGAGUUCCAUCACGCAUUGUGAGUGACAGGGAUGGUAGAUUCAUUGGUACUCUCUAGACCAAACUAUUCGCCUUCUUGGGAACACGCCUAAAUAUAUCCUUAAGCUGCCAUCCUCAGACGAAUGGCCAAACUGAAGGAUUCAAUUGUAUGCUUAAGGAAUAUCUACGACAUUUUGUUGAUUCUGGACUAAAGAAUUGGGCCUAGUUGAUGGAUGUGGCUCAAUUUUGUUUUAAUGCACAAACUAGUCUAUCCAUAAGAACGAGUCCUUUCAAAAUCUUGAGUGGAAGACAACCUAUACUGCCUCAUAUUGUUGAUCAUCCUUAUGCCGGAAAAAAUCCUCAAGCUCAUAACUUUACGAAAAAGUGGGAGAAGACUACGAACAUCGCUCGAGCAUACUAAGAGAAAGUCUCGAAGCGUAUGAUAAGAAGCAUCAUCCUCUCAAGUUUUGAGCGGAAGACCAACUCUUCAUAGAGUUUAAAGCAAAGCAAAUUUGAUUUAGAGGACAUCAACAUCAGCAUCUCACCAGAAAAUACAAAGGGCCUGUUGAAGUUCUGAAGAAAAUUGGAAAUGCAUCCUAUAGGGUAUCGUUGCCUGCAUGGAUAAAAAAUAUCUAGUAGCUCAUGUGAGCAACUUGAAACCUUACCAUCAAGAUCCAGAUGACCAGUAGUGCAACAAUGGUGUAUGGUCAUCUAGUGACCUAAAGCAGAAAGACGAUAAAGAAAUGGAAGAAAUCCUUCCUAAGAGAGUGAGGAAGGGUAUACCCAUGAAGAAGAUACAUGAAUUCCUACUGAAGGAAAGAACCUCCAUGUGGAAGAAACACGUUAGGAAUGUGCUGAAGACCUUGGAGCGUGAAAGAAGAAGAUCGAGGAAUACUAGCUUCGCCAGUCGACAGGGACGUCAAUUGUUUAAGUGGGGGAGAAUGUAACAAGCAUGCUUGUCCAAGGCGCUGUUUACUUAUGGCCGCAUGCCCAAACACCCCAAUUUACAUUGUUUUUAUGUUUUGUAUUUAGUUUUACUUUUUGCUUUCCUUUUUAUGUCAUAAACCUUGGGUGUGACUUGGCUUUUUCUUAUGCAAGCCUACCAGAACUAAAAAAGUCUAAAAUGUACUAUAGAUGGGACAUAGUAGUUGAAUUCCUGCCCAAGCCUUGUUGCACUCUUCGCAAUCAAAGUUUUUCUUUGCAAUUGACAGUCUUCAAUGCUUGCUUUAACGAUAUUUUCAUUGAAUUUCUUUCUCCUCACGUUUUAUAAAACAUUUUCUUAAGAACGUGAAGAGAGGCUACAUCGUAUCAUGUGUUUGUCCGUGGUUUCUGGAUUUUGAUCAGCUAACUUGUUGUCUACGUAAAACAAGUGCAACAUAAUCGCUCCUCUCGUGUUUGAAAGCUCGCGAUUGUGACACAAGAAAUGCACUAGCCAAGAAUGCACACGAGGAGGGCUACACGAAAUGCCAAGCACGCAACCAUGUGAGGUUCACAAUGUGCUUGUGUGUGAGGUUAGCACGCGGGCAUGCCCAACACGCAUGAAAAGCCUCUUGUGAGAUUCACACACAGUAGUCAGCGCCCAACCAAGGCCCUACUACCCACCCAUUCGUGCCAGGCAGUGUCAUAUUGCAUGUUGAGCUAUUUUUGGUAAUUUUUUGUGUUUUUUAAGUAUACUUUUGAUAUUUUAUUGGCAAAAGAUAAUUAAUUGUACUAUUUUACCAUUAUUUCAGGACAUGAGAAGAUCAUACAAAUUUAUAAACAAGGAUUUGAGCUUGUAUCUAUGAGUGGAAAAUGUUUUAUUUAAAGUGAUUUCAAGCAUGUUCUUAAGUCAUGAUUUAUGACGGAUUUAUGAUAAAAUGUUUAAGUUAUGUUAUGAAAAGUCUUUCAAGGGUGUUAUUGUUUAAAGGUUUAUUCAAGCAUAUUAUUUACUCUUCAAAAUGCAUAAUAUUCAAAAUGUUUUCCCACUUUCUAGGUAGAGAUCGUGUCCUCUAAGCCUAACUUGCUACUACCUGUCUACUAAAGGAUUUCAUUUUGUUAUCAUAUGUGUCCUGUUAUUUUGUACUAAUGAUAAAUUAGUCUUUUGUGCUAUCAGACUUAGGCUUUUGGGAAGGUUUAAUAAGGUUUUGUUCUAGAUAAAUAAGAUUACGUUUUUUCUAUGUAAAACUUGUCUAAGGUUGUUAAAUGAAAAAGGUUUAGCCCAAUUGGUUUUAGUAAAAUUAUGUGUUAUGUUUCCGCUGUUGUUUAGAGUUUAAAGGUUCAGGCUAAUGGUUAAAUGGUGUCGUUCUUGACGUGGGUGCUAUCGAUUGGCUUCACGCCAUAUCUCGAGCCACGCAAGUAGGUUCUCGUGGUGGGGUGUAUAGCCUAAGUUGGCUUAUUAACGGUUAAAAUGUAAACAUGUCCAUAACAAAAUAGUCGGGCGAGGCCCAUGUGGACCGACUGGUAAAGGUUGAAGAGCAAAUGCUCUACCUAAUGAAAGUUCCUAACUCAAUUCUCUUCUUGGAAACCCGCCUUGAAGAAAUUUUUUAGAAAGCUGAUGCUAUAAUAAUUAAACCACCACCCAAAAUCUUAAGCUAGUGAUUAAAAUAAAUUUAAUUAUAUAUCACUAACAAUCCCCCACUUAUGGUUAAAAUAUCUAUAAAGGUCCAACAAGUGAAAAUCAAUUUUAAUUGGGAAGGAAACACCAAUACAAGGUUGUAACGACCCAACUUUUCCAAAUAAGUCGAAGUCAUAUUUCAAAUAAAGACCUGAGUUUUCGCAAAUCUCAAUCUCAAAUAAUUUCAAAGUCUCAAAGAAAACAAAAAUUUAUAUUUGGGCCCUGUUUAAAAUAGCCAACACUUUCAAGAAAAGUUUACUAAUUCGUGAAUACAGUUCAACUAUAAAAUUUUCUAAACAAUCUAAAGUACUAAAACAAAACAUGAGAAACAAAAAUUAAGUGGAAAUUAAAAAAUAUCCCCUAUGGCAAUCACGCUUCCUUCCUGCCCCUCGCCGGUUUGUCGCCUUUAUUACCUUUGCCUGAAAAAAUUAAACAUAAGGAGGGUGAGUAUAAAAUACCCAGUAAGAAACCCUCUACUGGUCCCAUCAGGGGAAAAUAAAUUGUUAACAUUCUAUUGGGACACCCUGUACAGUCGCAGGGCAAUGGUUCACGGCAAGGCAAAAAUGAGCCCAAUGGUUCACGGCAAGGCAAAAUGACAAUCAAGAACGAAUCAAACGGCUGUAAAUAGAGCAACACUGAAUGUGAAUCAACCGGAAAAGAAAAUCGGCUUCAAAUCGUAACUCCGUCUUCCAACGAGCAGAAAACGACGACUUGAUAGGGACACGCAAUUUAGGAAGAGAUCGGAUACCGGUGGGGACACGGCGUUGCAGAUCUGACAACGGCGCGGAGACAAAGUUGCGCGGUGCUGGCAGAGGUCACAGACUGGACUGGGCGGAGGGUCACGCGGUGCUGGGCAGAGGGUCACACGACGCUGGGCAGAAAACAGAGGAGAAAGGAGAGGGGAGACAGCCGGCGGUUACAGGUUCACGCGACGGCCUUGGCUUCGACGGACGGAAGGGAAGAGAGG
This 51342-nucleotide long non-coding RNA is filed under the name Cucumis sativus (cucumber). RNAcentral's name for it is "long non-coding RNA (CSAT_LNC001542)". Lineage: Eukaryota; Viridiplantae; Streptophyta; Magnoliopsida; Cucurbitales; Cucurbitaceae. The record is from RNAcentral.